This 76116-nucleotide long non-coding RNA is filed under the name Arachis ipaensis. RNAcentral describes it as "long non-coding RNA (AIPA_LNC002324)". The record is from RNAcentral. Lineage: Eukaryota; Viridiplantae; Streptophyta; Magnoliopsida; Fabales; Fabaceae.
GACUGCAAUCAAUUCUGCGCCGAUAUAACUGCAAAGCAUCAGCAGUGUUUGACAUACACACUUCAAACUGAGUGAGAAAAGAAGAUCAGAAGAUGAGGAUAUCAUCAAUGGUGGCACUAUCAAUAAUGGCCUUAACUUUGGUUGCAGUGCUUCAUGGUUGCAUGGCGCAGCUGCCGUCGAUAUGCAACGUGUUAGUUGGAGAUUUGUUGCCGUGCAAGCCGGCCGUGACACUGCCAAAUCCUCUGCCGCCUUCGGAAGUGUGCUGCUCGGUGCUGUCAAAGGCGGGCUUGUUGAAAUGCCUUUGCUCAUUCAAGAAUUCUCCAUUGUUGCCAUCGUUGGGGAUUGAUCCAGAUCUCGCCAUGCAGCUCCCUGCAAAGUGUCACCUUCCUCACCCUUUUGAAUGUUUAUUGUAGUAAUCCUAUCAAAUCAUUAUUACUACCAAAUCUGCUCUCUAUCUGUAAAUUUAACUAUGCAAUAAUACAGUAAUAACAAUGGAUUAUUGCUUUCAUUAAUUUCCUAUUUCAGUUUUAGUUAGAUUUUAAGAUAGUAUUAUUUAGUGUGUACAUUUACUAAAGACGCACACAAUAGUAUUGUGUCACCAAAGAUACAACACGGUAGCACAUAUUCAUUGUUUGUUUGAUAAGAAAUAAAAGAAAUGCUGUAACAUAUAUAAUUUUUAUUUAUUUUUUAAAAACGUCUAGAUGAAUGUUAUUGUAAGCGAAUUCUAUAAUGAAUAAUCAAAAUUUCAAUAUUUUUUAUGGAGAUAUUUUAAAACUAAUUACAAAUAAGAAAUAACUAAAUCAAAUUUUAGAUUAUGAAAUUAGUAUAUAUCUCAAUAAAUAUAUUUAUAUAACAAGACUUGUACAUUAUUUAAGAAAACGUAAGUAUAGGGACACUUUCAAAAGACUUGCCUUUUUCUUUCUAAAAAAUAAAUAACCAACACAAUUUUUUUUUUCCAAAGAAAAUGAAAACAACAAUGCUAGGCAGCAAAAAGAGCAUUUAUUAAUUUCUUAUUAAUCAAAGAAUACAAAAAACAACAAAAAAUGGUUAUGGAAACCCAAAAAAGUGUCGGCUGUACACUUUCCAAACCAUGGUACAUAUAAUGCAUUCAUCCCAAUCUAAUCCCACUGAGUUCAGUGUCAUUCGCAUGCAAUGAUCUGUAAAGAAAUCAAUACUCUCAAUUAAAAAAGUUUUGUCAAAUAUAAUAAAUUUUAAUAUAUAUCCCACAAAAAUUCUACAGUNNNNNNNNNNNNNNNNNNNNNNNNNNNNNNNNNNNNNNNNNNNNNNNNNNNNNNNNNNNNNNNNNNAAAAAAAAAAAAAAAAAAGAAUUAAGUAAUAAGAGCAUUUACCCUAUUAGACAGGGAAUGAUUUAUUGUUGUCAUUUACACUUCUUGAGGUACUUUAGAGGGAGGGAAGUUUGGUUUGUAAUCCUAAAGGCGGAUCUAUCUCACCUCUUAUACAUCCUAAUUCAUUUAUUUAUUUAUUUAUUUGAUAUUGAAUUAAAUUGAAUCUGACAACAGCUUUUAUGGAAAUGGAUCUUUUUCAUUUUUUUUAACAUUUGAGAGAAUAAAAUGUGAUCUCUCAUCUUUAAUUCUAUAAGUAAGACAAAAAAUAAAUAGAAAAAAGAGAACAAUAAAGGAUGACAUUAAAUAUUGGAUACCAUCCAAUUUUUUUUUCCAUUGGAGAGGAUCCAUUCCUCAGCUUUCAUAGAUAAAAUGCAAGACUUCAAUCUUGCAAACAACACAAUACUCUCUUACGUCUUUUUUUUUUUUUGGAUUAGGAAAAUGUGGUGACACAGGAACUGAAAUUUUUAGAGAUGAAUACUAGAAUUUUAAUAAUAUAUCCUUUUAGCAAAAACACUAGUUAAAACUAAAAUUUUAGUCUUGGGAUACAAAAAUUUCAGUCCCAUUAUUAGCACCUCAAGAAUGUGGUGACACAGGAACUGAAAUUUUUAGAGAUGGAUACUAGAAUUUUAAUAAUAUAUCCUUUUAAAAAUCAUCUAAUUUAACUUUUUAAAUUUUAAAUUUACUUCUCAAUCUCUAUUUAUCUUAAACCAAAUACGAUACUACAAUAUAAUUCAGUCUAGUAUAUUAUAUACUAAACACAAAUAAAAUCUUAAUUCGGUCUCUCUUUACAACAUGAUCUUAAAAAAACAACCUCUAAAUCUCUCUAUACACAAAAAGAGCUACAAAACUCAUCUUCUACAAUAUGUAAUAGUGAAUUUUAAAAAUAAUGAAUUCUCUCAAAAGAGUAUAUAGUCACAAAUAAAGUACUAUAAAUAAUCCCAAACUAUCAAUCAAAUAUUUAUCAAAAAUAUUUUGACACUUAUAAAAUUUGAUUACAAUGAAAGUUUAUAGCAUAAAAAAAAGUUGUGUACUGAACAAAAAUCAAGACAUUUAUUUAUAGAUCUCCAUGCACUCAUGAACAUUAAGAGUGAGUAGAAAGAGUAAAAGAUUCAAAAACAUACGUUUUUUGUAGGAUCUUGUGUCUACAAGGAUGUAUAAGAUUGAUUCUCAAAACUAGAGAUCAAUCCUCUAUUCCUCUAGUUUGAAUUUGUGAAAAAUAUAGCACUACAUAUAGCACAUGAGAAUCGAUCCUCCAUUUUAACAUAGUAAUCGAUUCUCUUUAGGUUUAGAUUUAAACAAAUUUAAAUUUCGAGUUAUGGCGUCUUGUGCAUGAUUGGAUUAGGUCUUACUCCCAUCAUCUAUUAUAAAUAGUUUAAGAUUUUCAUAAUACGACUUAUACUCAUUCUCAAUCAUGUAUUUUCGAAAUCAUUGAAUAAAAAUUAUUUUACUUUAAUUAAGAUUGAUUUUAACUUAAGAGAUAAAUUUAAUUUAUUUUUAACAAGUAAAAACUAAAUUCCUAUACCUAAAUGUUGUUUGUUGGACUUCUCCUUAUCAUAUAAUAUUUGUUGUAUAUUUAUUUGUUGCAUAUUUUUUGCAUGCAUGAUUGAUUUUUUGAUGGGCUUGUGUUUGUAAAAAUUUAUUAUANNNNNNNNNNNNNNNNNNNNNNNNNNNNNNNNNNNNNNNNNNNNNNNNNNNNNNNNNNNNNNNNNNNNNNNNNNNNNNNNNNNNNNNNNNNNNNNNNNNNNNNNNNNNNNNNNNNNNNNNNNNNNNNNNNNNNNNNNNNNNNNNNNNNNNNNNNNNNNNNNNNNNNNNNNNNNNNNNNNNNNNNNNNNNNNNNNNNNNNNNNNNNNNNNNNNNNNNNNNNNNNNNNNNNNNNNNNNNNNNNNNNNNNNNNNNNNNNNNNNNNNNNNNNNNNNNNNNNNNNNNNNNNNNNNNNNNNNNNNNNNNNNNNNNNNNNNNNNNNNNNNNNNNNNNNNNNNNNNNNNNNNNNNNNNNNNNNNNNNNNNNNNNNNNNNNNNNNNNNNNNNNNNNNNNNNNNNNNNNNNNNNNNNNNNNNNNNNNNNNNNNNNNNNNNNNNNNNNNNNNNNNNNNNNNNNNNNNNNNNNNNNNNNNNNNNNNNNNNNNNNNNNNNNNNNNNNNNNNNNNNNNNNNNNNNNNNNNNNNNNNNNNNNNNNNNNNNNNNNNNNNNNNNACAAUAAUUAAAUAUUAUAUUUAAAAUUUUAUUUUAUAUUAUAAGAAUCUUACACAAAAAUGCAUUUUCAUUUAUUGUUAGUGCUCUCUUUGAUGCUGGCAAUAAUAAAAUUAUGGUUAAAAAAUAAUAAAAUAUCAAUGCAUUUUUUACGCAUUAAACAUAGCCCUCUAAAUAGAUUCUAAGAUUUUACAUAAAAUAAGUUAUCAAACUGCCAUUUUUCUUUUUACAAAUCUUUUAAGGUUUUUCUCCUUAGCUCUAGUUUUCAUUAAAUAUAUAAUAAACGAUUUGUAUUGUUUGUACCAUUCUUUUAUUUCAGAAUCUGUCGUGGCAGUUAUUACUCUAUGAUAGUUUCAUCUUUAAGAUUUUUAUGGUUGUGGUGGGGCGGGUAUAAAUAGACCUGCCGUGUACCUCAUCAGUCAUGUUGAUGUCUUUUAAAAAACAAUGACUCAAACAUUAACAUCACAAUAAAAUAGCAUAUAUUUGAAUUAAUUAAAUUAAAUAAUUCAUAUAAUAAACAAAUUAUAAAUGAAUUAAAUAAAAUAAAUAAAAGAUACCUUCCAUAAGAGAUAUUCACCAAGUUUAGAGAUACACAAUAAUGAAAUAUGUGAAAAGCAAUCUAAAAAACAAGGGUGAUUUUAGGUGAUGCAUUGAAUUAUGCGGCUAUAUAAGUGCAAAUCAGGAAGUAGUGUUUGACAUACAGACUUAAAAGUGAGAGAAGAAGAAGAACUGAAAAAGAUGGGUUCAAAAUCAUCAUGGUCAAUGGUGGCACUAGCAAUAAUGGCAUUAAGUGUGGUUGCAAUGCUUGAUGGUUGCAUGGCGCAAUCGUUCUGCAACACGUCACUUGCAGAGUUGUUCAAGUGCAAGCCGGCCGUGACGCCGCCAAAUCCUUCGCCGCCGACUCCAGAGUGCUGCGCGGUGGUGGCAAAGGCGGACUUGAAAUGCCUUUGCGGAUUAAAGAAUAGCCCCUUGGUGCCAACUCUGGGGAUCGAUCUAAAUCUCGCCUUUCAGCUCCCUGCAAAAUGUAACCUGUCUCUCCCUCCUCAAUGUUAAUGCUAUCUGUAAACACAAACUACUCAAUAAUCAAUAAUAUAGUAAUAACAAUCGAUUAUUACUUUUGUUAACUCCCCUUCUCACCCUCAACUCCCCUUCUCUUUUUUUUUUCUCCAUUUUCUUUUAUCCUAUUGUCAAAAUUCCAAUUUCUUUAGGCUUUAACAAGAGUAUUUACCGGUCGGGUUGAUUAUAUUAUUAGUGUUUUGAGAAAAAAAAAAAGACCGUCAAACCCAUUAAAUGUUAAUCGAUUUUGAUUGGUUGGAAUUUAAGAUUUUUUGAGUAGAUCAGAACUAAUCUUAAUAAAUUAAAUUUAGGAGAACACUUUAAUAAAGACACUAAAAAUAUCUUUUUUUUUAAAGAUAUUUAUAUGUAUCAUAUUAUUAUUGGCUAUGAUGCAUGGACACUGACACAGACACGGGACACGACAUGACAUGGGACACGCCGACACGCGAAUUUUAAAAUCUUACAUGACACGGGGACACGCAUAUAUAUCACCUGGACACGUGAUGGUAUUUAGGUGUGUCUAGGCGUGUCCGAAGAAGAAUUUUUUAUUUUUUAUUAAGAUACGGUUGGACACAGCAGACACGCGUGUCGGACGAGUGUCAGUGAGUAUCGUGUCCGAAAUGUGUUCGACACGCGGACACAAUAACUCAGAAAAGUGUCCGUGCUUCAUAGAUUAUUGGACAUCUUUAUUAAACCGAUUAAUAAUUUAUUUUUUAAUAAAUCAGAACAAAAUCAGUUUAUUAUAGCAACAAUAAUAAACCCAAUUGUCUGCAUUAUAAUUAUUAGAUCCGGUUUGAUCCGAUUGAAUUACACAAUCUAAAUCGAAUAUUUUUAAAUUUUUUGAUAAAAAGACAAAUAUAUCUUUGACUUUUUGUUUUGCAGACAUUUAUAUUCCUAAAAAUUUAAAAAUACAAUUAGAUGCCUAAAAAAAAUUUGGGUUUAUUGUUAUUAUUAUAAAAAAAAAUCGAUUUUAUUCUAAUUUGUUAAGAAAUUCAAAAAUAACCGGUUCAAUAAUACGUCCAAUAAUAAUGCGGCACGUAAACGUCUUUACAAAAAGAUGUUUUACGCGUCUUUAUGGAAGCAUCCCCUUAAAUUUAAGUUGGAACGAUUUAAAUACUUAAAUAUUCAAUUAAAAAUAAAAUUUAAAAAAUUCAGAAAAAAAUAAAAAAUUCUCUAAAUUUUAUAACUAUAUAAAGAAAACACAAAUAGAGGUAUGUAUAUAUAUAUAUUAUAAUUUGCAUACAUAUUAAUAAAAGUUAUCACAGCUUGGUGGGUGUGAAUAGCUCUACUUAUCUAAAGAGGAGGGAUUUGAAUCCAAUCUUUAACAUUUUGGUAAAAUUUAAAUACUAAUCAGACCAGUUUUUAUCGGUUUACAUCGGUUUUUCACCUUAUGUGGUCCAAAUAUCGGACUGGAUUGGUAGAGGGUCUGAUUCACCAGUUUUUCAGUUGAAUUGGCUGUUCUGGUCCGGUUUUAAUAAUACUGAUUUGUAAUUAUCAAUUAAUCAUUAUUAAUAUUUUUAAUGGUAUGAGAUUAUAUCUAAUGAUAUAAGAUUACAUACUCUUUUGUUAAUGAUUAAAUAUUGGCUAGAAUUUAAAUACUAAUCGGUUUGGUCGGACCGAUCUUUAUCGAGUUUGACCGGUUUUUCAUCAGGUCACUCCGAAUUUGACCGGUUCGCACCAAUUUUUCACCUCAUGCGGUCUAAAUAUUGGACCGGAUCCAUAAAGAAUCCAGUUUACCGAUUUUUUGGUUGAAUUGACCAGUCCGGUCUAAUUUUAAUAACACUGAUUUGUAAUCAUCAAUUAAUCAUCAUUAAUAUUUUUAAUGGUAUAAAAUUACAUCUAAUGAUGUAAGAUUACACGCUUUUUUGUUAAUAAUUAAAUAUUAACUAGAUUUUAAUAAAAAUGCUGGCGUUGAGACUUUCUCAUAUAUUAUUAGAUUUUAUUUAUUAUUUUUAAUUAAUAUUAGACUAAUCAAAUUAUUUUAAAUUAUGUGAUCCGAAUAAAUUGAAGUCGAGUUUAAUUGAAUCAAACUAAAUUGUAUUCGUUUACCCAUCAAAUCUAAAAUUAAUAUAAUCGAUCUAUAUCGAUUUUAGUUAGAAAAUUGAAUUAUCUGUACUUGUAAACAUCACUAAACUUUAAAAUAAUGUUUAUUUAGCAUUCAUAUGCACUAAAAAUAUGAAGACGGUAACAAAGUGUUACCUUUCUCUCCCUACUCAAUAUUAAUGCUAAUAAUGCUAUCAAAUAAUUUCUACUACCAAAUCUAUCCCCUAUCUGUAAAGUCAAUUGAUUCGGACAAUCAAGUAAAUAAAAAGUUGAUGAUUACAAAAAUAAAUAUGUACUUUUUAAUUUGGCAUUCAGCACCUAAAGCAAUUAGACAUUUAAUCAAAAGAGACUGUAAUUACAAGUGACACUGCUAAAAAUUAAGUCUUUCAUGUAUGAAUAAUUAACAGUUUGGAUCAUAUUCUUGAAAUCGGCUCUUGAUAUCUUUUACGAUUUUUAUUUCUUUCUCUUUGUUAUGUUUGCGAUUCCUCCAGUCUGCAUUGUCUGUCAUAUUGAGCAAUCCUGCCAGGACCUGAGUCAAAUUUAUAAGUUCCAAUCUUAAACUAAUGAGUACAAGAGUAAUUUUCCUUAUAAGUAAAAGAAUGGUAAUCGUUGAUGUCCUCUUAGAAUAAAAAAAAAUUGAUUAAGAAGUAUGUGAUUCAUUCUUAUAUUAGCAUAGUAUUCCAUCAGUUAAGUGCCUACCUCACGUCCAAAUUGGACAGAGAAUCUCACUUUCUCCUCAACACGGUGCAGCAGAAUUGUGCCUCCUGAAAUUUUGAUAUAGAACAAAACUUGACUCCCCAUCAGCUUGUGUCUUCAGAAAUUUUCUUUCAUCAGAAACGCUAUCAACUUUGUCUCAAUAAAGAACAUAAAAACGAAUAUAAACUCUAAAACGAGUCAAAGUGUAGAUCAUCUUUUAGAAUAAACAAAUUGGAAUUGAUUUCUCAAGUCAUGUCAUUAGUAAGUUAGGACUAAUACCAAGAAAUUACAAAGAGGGGGAAGAAAGGUUAGUCAGAAGCAAACAGAACAAAAAUGAAACAGAAAGCAUGACCAGAAGAUUAAUACUUACAAUUCUUAGAAACAAAUUUAAAUUCCAUCUUUUGUGCAGCUAAAUUGAAUGACUUUUCAACCAUAACUGCUUUGGAAGAUGGAAUAGGAAUGGCCGACAUGUAAAAGCAGAAAUCACAUAAUAAGAAUGAAAUUCAAACAUAUUUGACAAAAUACUAAAGUUAUUAAGCAGAAUCCCUCAACCUCCUCCGGCUUCUCAAUCUCCUCCUCCACCUCAACCUGCUGCGAUGCCAAAUUCCUACUCAGAAUUGAAACGACGUGGAGGAACUGAGUUCUUCUUCUUCUUUGUCCAGACGGAGAAUGACAAGGCGACUGCUGGUGCGUGCUGCUACUGCGUAAAAAGAUCGACAGAGAAAGAGCACGGUUACAAGGAAGGGAGAGGGUGAGGAUAGACUGCUGCUGUCCGGAUAGGGGAUUAGAGCUGAUGUUGUUCUUUAUUGGCAGAUUGGUAUACAAGGAUGAAGAACAAUUUUUCAGAGUUCUUCUUUGUAUGAAAAGGUAGAAGAAAUUAUAUUAGGAUUCAUUAGAAUUGAAGCAAUCUGUUAGUGUACAUGAAUAAUGAAUAAUGAAAUAUAUUUUGAUUUUGAUUUUAAAUUAAUUUAAAUUUAAAAUUAUAAAACUAAAGUUAUUAAUUGAAUUUUGAUUAAAUUAAAAAAAUUAGAGUAAUUUUUGUCCAAUAUAAAAAAAAGAAUAUUUAAGUUUUUUUCAUAAAAUUGAAUAUUUUUUUUUAUUUUUAUUAAAAUAUAAGGGUGAUUUAGUAAAACUAUUGAUAUGAUAUAUAUUUAAAACAAAAAAAAUUAAUUAUUGACGUGGAAAAUAUAAUCCACUUGUAAUGUUUUAAUUUAUCUACAAUUUUAUUAUACCGGUACGUAUAAAUUUAUUAUCGUACCGAAGCCAUCACCUAUUAUUUAGUACUGUCUAUAUCUACUAAAUACGGACACAGUAGCACUCGUCACAAAAAAUAUACAAACACGGUAACACGUAUUCAUUGUUUGUUUGAUGAAAAAUAGAAGAAAUUUUGUAACAUAUAUAAUUUUUAUUUAUUUUUUAAAAACUUUACGUCUAGAUGAAUGUUAUUGUAAGCGAAUUCUAUAGUGAAUAAUCAAAAUUUCAAUAAUUUUAUGGAGAUAUUUUAAAACUAAUUACAAGUAAGAAAUAACGUAACUAAAUCAAAUUUUAGAUUAUGAAAUUAGUGCAUAUCUCAAUAAAUAUAUUUAUAUAACAAGACUUGUACAUUAAUUAAGAAAAAGUAAUUAUAUGGACACUUUCAAAAGACUUGCCUUUUUCUUUUUAAAAAAUAAAUAACAAACAGAAAAUUUUUUUUCGAAGAAAAUGAAAACAACAAUGCUAGGCAGCAAAAAGAGCAUUCAUUAAUUUCUUAUUAAUCAAAGAAUACAAAAAACAACAAAAAAUGGUUAUGGAAACCCAAAAAAGUGUUGGCUCUUGGCUGUACACUUUCCAAACCAUGGUACAUAUAAUGCAUUCAUCCCAAUCUAAUCCCACUGAGUUCAGUGUCAUUGGCAUGCAAUGAUCUGUAAAGAAAUCAAUACUCUCAAUUUAAAAAAUUUUGUCAAAUAUAAUAAAUUUCAAUAUAUAUCCCAUAAAAAUACUACNNNNNNNNNNNNNNNNNNNNNNNNNNNNNNNNNNNNNNNNNNNNNNNNNNNNNNNNNAAAAAAAAAAAAAAAAAAAAAGAAUUAAGUAAUAAGAGCAUUUACCCUAUUAGACAGUGAUUGAUUUAUUGUUGUCAUUUACACUUCUUGAGGUACUUUGGAGGGAGGGAAGUUUGGUUUGUAAUCCUAAAGGCGGAUCUAUCUCACCUCUUAUAAUAUACAUCCUAAUAUGAUCUAUAGUGGUACCUGUUCCAUUUAUUUAUUUAAUAUUGAAUUAAAUUGAAUCUGACAACAUCUUUCAUAGAUAAAACGCAGCAGUUCAAUCUUGCAUACACCGCAAUACUAUGUUUUUUCGGGAAUUGUAGAACUGAAAUUGAAUAAUGUGUUUAGUAUUUAGAUACUAAAACAAAAAUUUUAGUUUUAAAAUAUAAAAUUUCAAUCUUUUAGUAUUUUUAAAAAGUAAGAACACAUAGAACUNNNNNNNNNNNNNNNNNNNNNNNNNNNNNNNNNNNNNNNNNNNNNNNNNNNNNNNNNNNNNNNNNNNNNNNNNNNNNNNNNNNNNNNNNNNNNNNNNNNNNNNNNNNNNNNNNNNNNNNNNNNNNNNNNNNNNNNNNNNNNNNNNNNNNNNNNNNNNNNNNNNNNNNNNNNNNNNNNNNNNNNNNNNAUAGAACUAAAAUUUUAGAAAUAAAAAUUAAAAUUUUAAUAAUAUAUAUUUUUAAAAAUAUUUUAAUUUAAUUUUUUAAAUUUAUUUUUUAAUUUUUAUUUAUUUUAAAUCAAAUAUAAUACUAAGACAUAAUUUAGUCUAAUAUAUUAUACACUAAAUACAAUAUAAAAAUUUAAUUCGAUUUCUCUUUACAACAUGAUCUUAAAGAAAACAACCUCUAAAUCUCUUUAUACACAAAAAAAACUACAAAAAUCAUAUUCAACAAUAUGUAAUAGUAAACUUCAGAAAUAAUAAAUUCUCUCAAAAGAAUAUAUAGUCACAAAUAAAGUACUAUAAAUAAUCCCAAACUAUCAAUCAAAUAUUUAUCAAAAAUAUUUUGACACUUAUAAAAUUUGAUUACAAUGAAAGCUUAUAGCAUAAAAAAAGUUGUGUACUGAACAAGGAUCAAGACAUUUAUUUAUAGAUCUCUAUGCACUCAUGAACAUUAGGAGUGAGUAGAAAGAGUAAAUGAAUAAAAAAUAUUCAUUUUUUUGUAAAAUUUUGUGUCUAUAAGGACAUAUAAGAUUGAUCCUCAAAGUUAGAGAUCAAUCUUCUAGUUUAAAUUUGCUUAAAAUAUAGCACUACAACACAUAAGGAUUGAUCCUCCAUUUUAACAUAGUGAUCGAUCCUCUCUAAAUUUAGAUUUAAGCAAAUUUAAAUUUCGAGUUAUGGCGUCUUGUGCAUAAUUAUAGUAGGUCUUAUUCUUAUCAUCUAUUAUAAACAGUUUAAGAUUAUCAUAACACGACUUAUACUAAUUUUCAAUCAUGUAUUUUUGAAAUUACUGAGUAAAAAUUAUUUUACUUUAAUUAAAAUUGAUUUUAAUUUAAGAGAUAAAUAACUUAAUUUACUUUUAACAAGUAAAAACUAAAGUCCUAUACCUAAAUAUUGUUUGUUGGACUUCUCCUUAUCAUAUAAUCUUCGUUGCAUGCAUGAUUGAUUUUUUGAUGGGCUUGUGUUUGAGUUUAAUGCAAAAAUCUUCUUGUAAAAANNNNNNNNNNNNNNNNNNNNNNNNNNNNNNNNNNNNNNNNNNNNNNNNNNNNNNNNNNNNNNNNNNNNNNNNNNNNNNNNNNNNNNNNNNNNNNNNNNNNNNNNNNNNNNNNNNNNNNNNNNNNNNNNNNNNNNNNNNNNNNNNNNNNNNNNNNNNNNNNNNNNNNNNNNNNNNNNNNNNNNNNNNNNNNNNNNNNNNNNNNNNNNNNNNNNNNNNNNNNNNNNNNNNNNNNNNNNNNNNNNNNNNNNNNNNNNNNNNNNNNNNNNNNNNNNNNNNNNNNNNNNNNNNNNNNNNNNNNNNNNNNNNNNNNNNNNNNNNNNNNNNNNNNNNNNNNNNNNNNNNNNNNNNNNNNNNNNNNNNNNNNNNNNNNNNNNNNNNNNNNNNNNNNNNNNNNNNNNNNNNNNNNAUAUUAUAUUUAAAAUUUUAUUUUAUAUUAUAAGAAUCUUACACAAAAAUGCAUUUUCAUUUAUUGUUAGUGCUCUCUUUGAUGCUGGCAAUAAUAAAAUUAUGGUUAAAAAUUAAUAAAAUAUCAAUGAAUUCUUUACGCAUUAAAGAAGUUAUCAAAUUGCUAUUUUUCUUUUUGCAAAUCUUCUAAUGUUUUCCUUCUUAGUGAAAGAGCCUAGCAGCGGAAACGACACAAAUGUCCAACACAAAAACAAUAUGGAAGCACUCACAACAUAAUAUGGCAGCAACUAUAACAAGCAAAUAUAGCAAGUAAAGCAAUAAUAAGAACACACCGAGAUUUUAACGUGGAAAACCCCCUCAAGGUGAGAGGUAAAAACCACGAGUCGUCCAGACCAAUGAAAUAGCUCCACUAUAAUCAAAUGAGGUACAAGAGAGUCUCAAACAAAGCACAAAAAUGUGCAUAUAACCAGCCAAAACAUCAAAGCACCAAAGCUCACAAAUGAAAAGCAAGAAGAUGAAAUAUACCCAAAAAACAGAGCUGCUGUCGAAGCCAAUUUCUCCCUCUGUAGACCUCCAAUUAAAAUCUUCACCGUCCAGAAUGAAGAACAAAAUGUGAAGAAUCUACAGUUCAAAUUUCACAUCGAUCCAACGGUGAAAGAAUGAGAAACUGCCGUUCCAAAAUUGCUGCUCUGUGUAAAACGGGAAACCUAAUUUCUCUCUUGCGAAGCCAAUUUCUCUCACUGAAAAUCUCCAAUCAACAUCUUCACCGACCAGAAUGAAGAACAAGAUGAUAAGAACAUGCAGUUUAAAUUUCAAGCCGAUCCAACGGUGAACAACUGAGAAACUGAUAUUUGAAAUUUACUGCUUUGGGCAAAAACGGAAAUUUUGUUUUUCCCCUUCUCUCUCACUUGGUGGCUACUCUCACUCACUCUCAAUGACCCCAAAAAUCUGAACUAGGGUUGUGGCACAAUGGGUGCAAGAGACACCCUCAAAAUGUUGGGCUUGGGCCUCACAAAGGAGAGAAAAACCCAACAAAUCUCCCCCUUCUCGACUGGGUGGAGGCUCUCGCCAUUCCGGCGAUCAAACAACAUGUUUCAAACUUUUCUCUUGACAAUGCUUUUGUCAUCAUAUCAGCACCAUUGUCAUCAGUGUGAACUUUCUCAAGUUCCAACAACUUUGAAUCUAACACAUCCCGUAUCCAGUGAUACCUAACAUCAAUGUGUUUAGAUCUUGGAUGAAAAGUAGAAUUCUUGGCAAGAUGAAUAGCACUUUGGCUAUCACACAACAACACAUAACGGUCUUGCUUGAAACUACCGUCCAGAAUGAAGAACAAAAUGUGAAGAAUCUACAGUUCAAAUUUCACAUCGAUCCAACGGUGAAAGAAUGAGAAACUGCCGUUCCAAAAUUGCUGCUCUGUGUAAAACGUACUCCUUAAAACCAGACCGAUUAAACCAUCGGCUCUAGUUUUCAUUAAAUAUAUAAUAAACGCUUUGUAUUGUUUGCAAAGUUCUUUUAUUUCAGAAUCUAUUACGGUAGCUAUUACUCUGUGACAGUUUCAUCUUAAAAUUUUUAUGGUUGUGGUGGAGGCAGGUAUGAAUAGAUCCGUCGCGCACCUCAUCAGUCAUGUUGAUGUCUUUUGAUAAACAAUGACUACUCAAACAUUAACAUGACAAUAAAUUGAAUCAAAUAGCAUAUAUUUAAAUAAAUUAAAUUAAAUAAUUCAUAUAAUAAACAAAUUAUAAUUUUUUGGCUCAAUANNNNNNNNNNNNNNNNNNNNNNNNNNNNNNNNNNNNNNNNNNNNNNNNNNNNNNNNNNNNNNNNNNNNNNNNNNNNNNNNNNNNNNNNNNNNNNNNNNNNNNNNNNNNNNNNNNNNNNNNNNNNNNNNNNNNNNNNNNNNNNNNNNNNNNNNNNNNNNNNNNNNNNNNNNNNNNNNNNNNNNNNNNNNNNNNNNNNNNNNNNNNNNNNNNNNNNNNNNNNNNNNNNNNNNNNNNNNNNNNNNNNNNNNNNNNNNNNNNNNNNNNNNNNNNNNNNNNNNNNNNNNNNNNNNNNNNNNNNNNNNNNNNNNNNNNNNNNNNNNNNNNNNNNNNNNNNNNNNNNNNNNNNNNNNNNNNNAAAAAUAUAAAUCAAAAUAUAAGAUGAAAAAGUUAAUGCAAAUUAAGACAAAAUCAAUUCAUUUAUUUUAGUCGAAUCAAAUAAUUAAUAUAAUUGAUUAGUUAUAGUUAAUAUGAUCAAACAAAAUAUUGAUAAAUUGAUAUUUAUCUCAAUUAAAUAAAUAAAUAAUUAAUUAUAUAACAUCUUUAAAAUUAUUAGUCAAAAUACGUAAGAUGAAAAAUUAAAACAAAUUAAAACAAAAUCAAUUUAUUUAUUUCAAUCGAAUAAGAUAAUUAAUGUAAUUAAUUAAUUAUAAUUGAUAUAGUAAAAUAAAUAUUGAAUAAUUUAAUAUUUAUCUCAGUUGAAUUAAAUAAUUAAUUAAUACAUUUAAAUGAAUGAAAUAAAAUAAAUAAAAAAUACCUUCCAUAAGAGAUAUUCACCAAGUUUAGAGAUACACAAUAAUGAAAUGUGUGGAAAGCAAUCUAAAAAACAAGGGUGGUUUUAGGUGAUGCAUUGAAUUAUGCGGCUAUAUAAGUGCAAAGCAGGAAGCAGUGUUUGACAUACAGACUUGAAAGUUCAAAGUGAAAGAAGAAGAAGAAUUGAAAAGGAUGGGUUCAAAAUCAUCAUGGUCAAUGGUGGCACUAGCAAUAAUGGCAUUAAGUGUGGUUGCAAUGCUUGAUGGUUGCAUGGCGCAAUCGUUCUGCAACACGUCACUUCCAGAGUUGUUCAAGUGCAAGCCGGCCGUGACGCCGCCAAAUCCUCAGCCGCCGACGCAAGAGUGCUGCGCGGUGGUGGCAAAGGCGGACCUAAAAUGCCUUUGCGGAUUAAAGAAUAGUCCCUUGGUGCCAACUUUGGGGAUCGAUCUAAACCUCGCCUUUCAGCUCCCUGCAAAGUGUAACCUUUCUCUCCCUCCGCAAUGUUAAUGCUAUAAAGAAUUCAAGAUCACUAUACUACCAAAUCUACCUCCUGUCUGUAAACACAAACUACUCAAUAAUCAAUAAUAUAGUAAUAAGUAAUAACAAUGGAUUAUUGCUUUCUGUUAACUCCCUUCUCACCCUCAACUCCCCCCUUCCUUUUCUUUUCUCCGUUUUUUUUUAUCCUAUUGUCAAAAUUCCAAUUUUAGUUAGGUUUAAUAAGAGUAUUUAGAUUCGUGUUUGAGAAAAAAAAUUACCAUCAAAUCGAUUAAAUAUUAAUUGAUUUUGGUAAUUGGUUCGAAUUAAGACUUUUUGAGUAGAUUAACUCUGAAUUCAAAUCAAUUAAAGUCUAGUUUAAUUGGGUCAAAAAAUUUGAUUAUAUUCUAUUACCCAUCAAAUCUAAAAUUAAUAUAAUCAAUCUAUAUUGAUUUUAGUAAAAAAAAAUUGAAUUAUCUGUACCUGUAAACAUCACAAAACUUUAAAAUAGUAUUUAUUUAGCAUUCAUAUGCACUAAAAAUAUGAACACAGUAACAAAGUGUAUGUCAUCUAUCUAUAAACUUAACUAUUCAAUAAUACAGUAAUAACAAUGGAUUAUUGCUUUCGCUAAUUCCCUUCAUUCUCACCCUCAAUUUUUGUCCUCCCCUUCUUCACUCUUUUUUUUUUCUCUUCUUUUCUUUUCUACUACGUUUAUAAUAAAAUUGAGUAAAGAAUAAAUUAAUACAUAUAAACUCUUAUAUUGUCUUGUUGAGAUUUUAUAUAAUCUAUUUGAAAUAAAUAUCAUCAAAAAGUAAAUAAUAAAUAUUACUAUUUGUUAACUUUAUUUUUUCAUGAUCUUUUAUAAUUUAAUCAUCUUAAUAUAAAAUUGAAAACAGACCAAAAAAAUCGUAAAAUAUUGUGAUAAGUAUGAAUGGAUGGAUGUCCAUUUAUUAUAGGGUGACUUUCUUUACAAUAUUGAGCGGCCAACUUUUUCAAGAUUGAAGGAAUCAAUCUUCAAGACAGAUGCAAAUAAAUAAAUUUUGAAAAGUAAGGCUUAGUAUGUGUAUAAAUAGAGGUUUAAACCUCUGACAACAUACACAAUCAAUAAUAACACAUAUUCUCUCUUUAUAUUGAAUACUCUCUCUCUUUAUAUACAUUAUAUAAUAUCUAAUAUUAGUAAUACAUAUAGGAAUUAUUGUUAUUGAGCUAAUUAUAUUAAUAUUAGAGUCUUCUAUUUACACAUCUUUAUUUUAUAUUUGGUAUAUCUUUUAUUUAUUUUACAACACGUCAUCAGCACGACACUCUGAUCAAAUUUUUAGGAAGACUCAGGUAACAAAUUUUCAUUAUGUCGAAACUCUCUCAUCUUGAAUUCAAUGCUCUUGAUAUAUCUGGAAACAAUUAUUUAUCAUGGAUAUUAGAUGCUGAAAUCCAUCUUGAUUCAAUGGAUCUUGGAGAUACCAUUAAUGCUGAAAAUAAUGCAUCCCAGAAGGAUAAAGCCAAAGCCAUGAUUUUUUUUCGUCGUCAUCUUGACGAAUGAUUGAAAAAUGAAUAUCUCACAUUAAAAGAUCCUGCAAAUCUUUGGAAAGACCUUGAAGAAAGGUACAAUCAUCAAAAAACGGUGAUACUUCCUCAAGCCCGAUAUGAGAGGAUGCACUUGCGUCUGCAGAAUUUUAAAUCCAUAAAUGAAUAUAAUUUUGCAAUGUUUCGAAUCACCUCACGAAUAAAAUUAUGUGGAAAAAAGAUAACUGACCAUGAUAUGUUGGAGAAAACUUUCUCAACCUUCCAUGCCUCGAAUGUGCUCCUGCAGCAGCAGUAUCGAGAAAAAGGGUUUAAAAAAUAUUCUGAGUUAAUUUCUUGCCUUCUUGUUGCUGAACGCAACAAUGAGUUGCUAUUGAAAAAUCAUGAAGCGCGCCCAGUUGGCGCCGCCCCAUUUCCUGAAGUAAAUGCGGCAAAUUACCCCAGAAGAGGUAAAUUGCAAGGUUUUAAUAAUAAGAAAAAUUAUAGAAGGAAAAGAAAUUAUAUUCAAAAGAGAGGAUCUCACCAGAAGUGGGAUAAAGAAAGAAAUAUCGGACAGAAUAAAUCAACAGAGAAUAAGUGUUUCCGUUGUGGUGGAAAGGGCCAUUAGUCACGUACCUACCGUACCCCAAGGCACCUAGUCGAUCUUUACCAGGCAUCUUUGAAAAAGGACGACAAGAAAAAAGAAUCGAAUUUCGUUUCAAAUGAAACUGAAAAUUCCACCACUCAUUAUGAUGUAUCUGAUUUCUUUGAAGAUCCUGAAGAAAAUAUUGGUCAUUUGAUUAAUGAUGGAAUAGUUUAAUGUGUGAGAUUGUUAAGUAUUCAUGUAAAUAAAUAAUGUAAAGAACUUAUUGUUAAGUUUUAUUUUCUAUGUAUUUAAGUUUUAAAUAUGAUGUAUAUAAAUAAUGAAAUAUUAAUGUUUAUGAAUUUUGAAAUAAUUAAAUAUGUCAUGUUUUAAAAUAAAAUUUUAGUAUAUGACAUUAUUUUUAUGUGCAGUAUUUCUUAGAAAAAUAAUUUCGAUCAAGUAUUCAAUUUAACUGUGCAUACUACUCAUUUUAUUAUUAUUUGUCUUUGAAGAAAAGGGCAAUGAUAUGUAAUGAAGAUGUAUGCCUUGUGGAUAGUGCAAGUUCGCACACUAUUCUAAAAAGUGAUAUAUAUUUUACCCAUCUUGUGCCAAAAGAAGAAUGUGUUAAUACUAUUAUCGGUUCAGGUAAUGUGAUUGAAGGCUUCGGAAGAGCUAUAAUUUUGUUUCCCGCCGAAAUGGAUAUCAUAUUUAGACUAUGAAUGAGGGAAGUCAUGAGUACUUAUGUAUUACAACUCAUGAUUCAAAUAAAAAGGUUAUAUUAGAAAAGUUGGCCUCACUUUCAUCUGGGUUAUAUUAUACCAAGAUUAGUGCAAUUGAAUCACAUGCCACUGUAAACCAUAAGUUUACUAGCCCAAAUGAAUUCAUAACUUGGCACGACCGAUUGGGUCAUCCGGGAACAACCAUGAUGAGAAGAAUUAUUGAAAACUCACAUGGACAUUCACUAAAGAACCAGAAAAUUCUUAAAACUAGUGAAUUUUGUUGUGCUGCAUGUUUUGAGGGAAAGUUAAUUUUAAGGCCAUCACCAGUAAAGGUUGGAUUUGAGUCCCCUGAAUUCCUAGAAAGGAUUCAAGGUGAUAUAUGUGGACCUAUUCAUCAAUCAUGUGGAUCUUUUAGAUAUUUUAUGGUCCUGAUAGACGCAUCUUCGAGAUGGUCACAUGUGUGCUUAUUGUCCUAUCGCAACCUGGCGUUUGUGAGAUUACUGGCUCAAAUUAUUCUAUUAAAAGCACAAUUUCCAGAAAAUCCAAUCAAAGCAAUUCGUCUUGAUAAUGCUGGUGAAUUUACUUCCUAAUCUUUUGAUGCUUAUUGUAUGGCUAAUGGAAUAAGUGUUGAACAUCCAGUAGCUUAUGUUCACACACAAAAUGGGUUAGCAGAAUCACUUAUUAAAUGCCUCCAAUUAAUUGCUAGACCAUUGCUUAUGAGAACAAAUCUCCCAACCUCGGUUUGGGGCAUGUUAUUUUACAUGUCGCAACACUUAUUCGUUUGAGGCCAACGAGUUACCAUCAGUUAUCUCCUAUGCAAUUAGCAUUUGGCCAGCAGCCAAAUGUUUCCCAUUUAAGGAUAUUUGGGUGUGCGAUAUAUGUUCCCAUUGCACCACCUAAUCGCACCAAAAUGGGACCCCAAAGAAAAUUGGGGAUAUAUGUUGGAUAUGAUUCUCCCUCUAUAGUGAAGUAUCUUGAGAGACAAACCGGAGAUGUAUUUAAAGCCCGGUUUGCGGAUUGUCAUUUUGAUGAAUCAAAAUUUCAAACAUUAGGGGGAGAGAAUAAGCUUCCUGAAAAGGAACUUAAUUGGAAUGUAUCAUCGUUGAUGCAUUUAGAUCCUCGAUCAGGGCAAUGUGAACUUGAAGUUCAAAAGAUUAUACAUUUGCAAAGAAUAGCAAAUGAAUUGCCGGAUGCAUUUUUCGAUACAAAGAGGAUAACCAAAUCUUAUAUACCAGUGGAAAAUGUCCCAAUUCGAAUUGAUGUCCCAGUUGGACAAAUUGCCACCGAAGCAAAUACACACCAGAAGCGUGGCAGGCCUGUCGGUUCCAAAGACAAAAAUUCUCGAAAAAGAAAAGAGGUAAAUACGAUUCCUGUUGAAAAAGGCAUAGUAGAGACACCUGCAGUUGUCCAAAAUUAUGAUAUAGUUUUAACGCCAGAAGACGUUCAGGUACCUGAAAAUUGUGAAAAUAACGAGAUCUCGAUAAAUUAUGUCUUUACAGGAGAGAAAUGGGACCGAAAUAAGACAAUUGUCAAUAAAAUAUUUGCAUAUAAUAUGGCAUUAAAUAUCAUGCAUGAAAAUAAGGAUCUUGAGUCAAGAUCAGUCGAAGAAUGUCGACAAAAAAAUGAUUGGCUAAAAUGGGAAGCAGCCAUGAAGGCUGAAUUAGACUCACUUGCAAAACGUGAAGUUUUUGGACCUGUAGUCCGUACACCUGAAGAUGUAAAACCUGUUGGAUACCGAUGGACAUUUGUGAGAAAACGAAAUGAGAAAAAUGAAGUUGUGCACUACAAAGUCCGACUUGUGGCACAAGGUUUUUCACAAAGGCCCAGUAUAGAUUAUGAAGAAACGUAUUCCCCUGUAGUGGAUGCGAUAACAUUGCGUUAUUUGGUCAGUUUAUCUGCAUAUCAUAAACUACAUAUGCAUUUAAUAGAUGUGGUAACAACCUAUUUAUACGGCUCAUUAGAUCGGGAUAUCUAUAUGAAAGUCUCUGAAGGACUAAAGAUAUCUAAACCAUCCAAUGAAUAUUCACAAGGGUUAUACUUAGUCAAAUUACAAAGAUCUUUAUAUGGUCUAAAGUAAUCUGAACGAAUGUGGUAUAAUCAUCUUACUAAGUAUUUGGCCAAAAACGGAUUCAAGAAUGAUGAUAUCUGCCCCUGUAUUUUCAUAAAGAAAACUUCAUUUGGAUUCAUUAUAAUUGCUGUGUACGUUGAUGAUUUAAAUAUCAUUGGGACUCUUGAAGAGAUUCCAACAAUUAUAAAAACUCUAAAAGAAGAGUUUGAGAUGAAAGAUCUUGGAAAGACUAAGUUUUGUCUCGGCCUGCAAAUCGAGCAUAUAAAAAGUGGGAUCUUUAUUCAUCAAACAACAUACACAGAAAAGAUCUUGAAGAGAUUUUAUAUGGAUAAGUCACAUUCAUUAAGUACCCCAAUGAUCGUAAGAUCUUUGGAUGUGGAGAAGGAUCAAUUCCGUCCUAAAGAAGAAAAUGAAGAUAUCAUUGGUCGUGAAAUACCAUAUCUUAGUGCCAUUGGAGCACUAAUGUAUAGUGGAAUCAAACAAAUCUUUCGAUAUCUUCAUGGAACAGUUGAUAUGGGAUUAUUUUAUCCAUAUGGAUCCAAGUCACAACUAGUUGGCUAUACAAAUUCUAGAUACUUGUCUGAUCCACAUAAAGAGAGAUCUCAAAUAGGAUACUUGUUCACAUAUGGUGGAACGGCUAUAUCUUGGAGGUCCACGAAACAGACAAUUGCUACAACAUCUUCUAAUCAUGCCGAAAUACUAGCGAUUCAUAAAGCAAGUCGCAAGUGUUUUUGGCUCAGGAAUUUGAUCCAAUAUAUUCUGUCAUCAUGUGGACUGAUUGAUCAUAAGAUAGCUCCAACUGUCCUGUUUGAAGAUAAUACAACAUGCAUUGCUCAAUUUAAAGGCGGAUACAUCAAAGGUGAUAGAACAAAGCAUAUUUCUCCCAAAUUCUUCUUCACUCAUGAUCUUCAAAAUCAAUGAACAAUUGAUGUCCAACAGAUCCGCUCAAGUGACAAUCUGGCAGAUUUAUUUACAAAGUCACUCCCAAAAUCCUCCUUUGAAAGAUUGAUACAUGAGAUUAGGAUGCGUCGAUUUCGAGACAUCAAAUGAUGUCGACAAGAGGGGGAGAUUGUACUAUUUUUCCCUUGGUCAGGUUUUUUUCCUAUUGGAUUUUUCUUGACAAGGUUUUUAAUGAGGCAGUCCCAUCACAAAGGAUAUUGUACUCUUUUUCCUUCACUAAAAAUUUUUUUUUCCACUGGAUUUUUCUUUAAUAAGGUUUUAAUGAUGCAUAUUCCUAAAUGGCCAUCCAAGGAGGAGUAUUGUGAUACGUAUGAAUGGAUGGAUGUCCAUUUAUUAUAUGGUGACUUUCUUCACAAUAUUGGGCGGCUAACUUUCUCAAAAUUGAAGGAAUCAAUCUUUAAGACAGAUACAAAUAAAUAAAUUUUAAAAAGUAAGGCUUAAUAUGUGUAUAAAUAGAGGUUUAAAUCUCUAACAAUAUAUAUGAUCAAUAAUAACAAAUAUUCUCUCUUUAUAUUGAAUACUUCUCUCUUUUUAUAUACAUUAUAUAAUAUCUAAUAUUAGUAAUACAUGCAUAUAGAAAUUAUUGUUAUCAAACUAAUUAUACUAAUAUUAAAAUCUUUUAUUUAUACAUCUUUAUUUUAUAUUUAAUAUAUCUUUUAUUUAUUUUACAACAUAAAAUUAGUAGUCUAGUAUCCAUACUUAUUAGCCACUCUAUCAGACGGAUAUUUCUUUCUCGAUAUGUCUGACCAAGUUGAACAUUCCAAUUUAUUGCAUUGCAAGAAGAGAUAUAAUAGCAUCCACUAAAAAGUGGUUAGUAUGUUGAGAUUCACAUGUUCUCUCUGGCACAAGCAACUUGAUGACAACUUUAGAAUAUAACAUCCAAAAUGAUCUGAUAAUAACCAACAAGUAAAAUUAUGAACUAACAUUAAUUUGUUUCGUAUCAGAGCAGAUAUCUUUUUUAUGUGAAUAAUUAAUAUAAUAUUUUUUUAUCUACUUAAUCUAUUAAAAUUNNNNNNNNNNNNNNNNNNNNNNNNNNNNNNUUCAAUUAAUUAAUAAAUUUAAUUUUGGUUGCUAUGUUUUAUUUUUUACAUAAUUAUGUUAAUUAUUGUCAAUCAUUAUACAUCAAAUUAGCAUUUACUACAUAAUUAUAUUAAUUGUCAAUAAUUUUUUUUAUAAAUAUACAUCAAAUCAGCAUUUAAUACAUAAUUAUGUUAAUUGUCAAUAAUUUUAAUUUUCAAUCAUUGUAAUAUAAUUUUAAAUUAGUCGUAAUUUCCAGCAAGUUAAUAUUGAUAUCUACCUUAAAAAAUAAAACAAAUUAAAAAUCUAUGAUUUUAAUCGUGAUAAAAAUGUAUAUGAUAUGAUAAUGACUCAUUCAAUCACGGUAAAUAUAUGAUAUAUAACGUAAAUAAUAAAAAAUCAACUUAAUAAUAAUUAAUUUAUAAUAAUUAAUUUAUAUAUUAUUUUUUUAUAUACUCAUUCUAUUAUAUUGUUCUUUUGAUAAUUUAAUGAUUGUUCUUACUCCAACUUAUUCUUUUCGUCUAAUAUUCCAGUGCGAUUGUCUUUUGCUGUAAUCGUUUAUAAUGCACCACAUCCAUCAAAUACCAUCUCAAGUUGUAUUCACUGAUUCAGGUUUUAAUUACAUAGAUGUAAGCGUUCAACGAAGGGACAAUAAACUCUAUUUUACUGAAACAUGGUUGAAUCUACUCAUUUAUUAUGACCAACCAAAUGGAAUAUGACUGGGUAAAGUUAGUUUUUUUUUUGGAGGAGCUCGAUUUUUUAUUGAGGAAUUGUUUCCAUGAAGUUUUGUAGGCAAAGUUCAUGUUCUAUCCCCUCCAUACUUUCUACGCCUGCCCAAAAGUCUUCGAAGUGGAGCACAUAAUGAGAUUGAAUUUCCUCAAUUUAUGUUCAGUUUUGGUAAAUUCGUAUCUUACUCGGAGAUGCAAUUUCAACGAUUGGUAAUAUAUUCAAAUUUUCUCAUUUUAAUUUUUUGUAAUUAAAAUAAUUUUAUAACAUAUUAUGAUUUUUUUUCCAGAAAUUACCGCUUUCUUUUGCAUCAAUACAAUGCCAUUAUAUUGAGGGGAAUAAAUGUCAGUUUAAUUUUUCGAUGUGAUAAUUGUAUACCUUGUCGCGUUGCAUGGAUAGCAGAUGAUGAAGCUUAUUUAAUAAGGGGAUAGUCUGAAUUUGCACGAAUUCUAAAUGUUCAAACUUAUGAUGUUGUCUCAAUUGAUUAUCAUUACGAGAAUGACUCUAAUUUAUACGUGUCUAAGGACUAGAAUAAAUUAAAUAUUAUUUAAGUAAUUUAGUUCUAAUAUUAGUAUUUGAUUAAAUUAGUUUUAGAUUAAUUUAAAUUAUUGUCUUAAUUUAUAUAUUACGACUAUUCUUUUUUAAUAUGUUAUUUUUAAAUUUUUGAAUAUGAAGUUUUUCUUUCUUUUUUCGAUUUUUAAGUUAUUUUUAUUUGUUCCGAGUAUAACUAAGAGGAAAAAAAUAGCCAAAUUAAAAAAACUGUAAAUAAUAAAUAUUAUUUUUUAUAUGACAAUUAUUUUAAUCAAUUAUGUAAAAUUAUUGUAAACAAAUAAUAAAAUAAUUAAUAAUUGGGUACGAAUAAAUCAACAAUAAUAUUUAUUAAAAGUUUUAUACGUGCAAUAAUAUUCUUAGUUGUGUUUAUUACGGUGUACAAUUAGUGUGUGUAUAUAUAUAUACACACACUGAGUAAUAGUGAUAUUUUACAAUUAGUUAUCACGUUCAUUGUAAACGAUUGUGGCAAAAGAUAAUCACACUGAAACAUUAGACGAAAAGAAUAAGUUGGAGUAAUAACAAUCAUUAAAUUAUCAAAAGAAUAAUAUAAUAGAAUGAGUAUAUAAAAAAUACUAUAAAAAAUUAUAAAUUGUACCUUAAGCCAUUAUCAUGUCAUAUAUUUUUUUAUCAUGAUUAGAAUCAUAGAUUUUUGUUUUAAUUUUUUAAGGUAGAUAUCAAUAUCAACUUGUCGAAAAUUACGAUUAAUUUAAAACUAUAUUAUAAUGAUUGAAAUUCAAAAUUAUUAACAAUUAACAUAAUUAUGUAUUAAAUGCUGAUUUGAUGUAUAAUUAUAAAAAAAUUAUUGACAAUUAACAUAAUUAAUGAUUGACAAUUAAUAUAAUUAUGUAGAAAAUAAAACAUAGCAACUACAAGUAAAUUUGUUAAUUAAUUGAGCUAGAUAAACAAUAUUUGGCAAUUAUUUUAGCAUUUAAUUAUUGAUAUCUAUAUCAUCAUCAUCAAUUGAUAUCAAUAUAAAUGGGUCACUAUUAACGUAACAACUUGUCACUAAUAAAAUUAUUGCAUAAUAAAUGAGAAUUAGAAUUGUAUCAAUAUAAUUAAAAUGAUUAAAAAUAUUUCUGAUUGAUAAUUAGUUUAAUAAUGCAUUAAAUAUUAAUUUUAUAUAAUUAUAACAAAGAUAUCUAAAUUAGUAUAAUUAUGCAUUAUUCAUUAAAUACUAAUUGUAAUAUAAUUGUAAUAUUGUAAUAUAAUUAUAAUAAAGAUAUUUUUUAAAAUAAAUUUAGAAGAGAGAAUAAUGCUUUCAUUUAGGAGAAAAAAUGAAUUUAUGAGAAAUUGACACCUUACUUUCAUUAGUGAGAAAAAACUCAAUUUUAGUAUAUUAUAAGUAGAAGUAGAUAGUGAUGUUUUAUAAUUAUUUGUCACAUGCAUUGUAAAUGAUUGCGGCAAAAGACAAUCGCACUGAAACAUUAGACAAAAAGAAUAAAUUGGAGUAAGAACAAUUAUUAAAUUAUCAAAAGAAUAAUAUAAUAGAAUGAGUAUAUAAAAAAUACUAUAAAAAAAAUAUAAAUUGUACCUUAAAAGGAUCCACUUCGAUGAAAAACGAAAAAUACAUUUUUAUUCUAUGAAGUAGUCAAGGAAGAAUAAUAAAUUAAAAAAAAUAGAGUUGACUUUCNNNNNNNNNNNNNNCUAUAAAAAAAAAGACAACAUAAAUAAUUAUAUAUCUAAUGAAAACAACUGCAUGAUAAUUAGAGAUACAAUACCGAAAAUGUGCCUAAAGUAAUGCCAAAGACAAGGCUGCUUUUGCUGACUGCAAUCAAUUCUACGCGUAUAUAACUGCAGAGCACCAGCAGUGUUUGACAUACACACUUCAAUCUGAGUGAGAAAAGAAGAUCAGAAGAUGAGGAUAUCAUCAAUGGUGGCACUAUCAAUAAUGGCGUUAACUUUGGUUGCAGUGCUUCAUGGUUGCAUGGCGGCGCAGCUGCCGUCGGAAUGCAACAUCAGAGAUUUGAUUCCGUGCAAGCCGGCCUUGACAGAGCCGAAUCCUCUGCCGCCGUCGGAAGUUUGCUGCUCGUUGCUGUCAAAGGGAGACUUGUUGAAAUGUCUUUGCCGAUUCAAGGAUUCUCCAUUGUUGCCAUCGAUGGGGAUUGAUCCAAAUCUCGUCGUGCUGCUCCCUAAAAAGUGCCACCUUCCUCAACCUUUUAUAUGUUUAUCAUAAUAAUCCUAUCAAAUCAUUAUUACUACCAAAUCUGCUCUCUAUCUGUAAAUUUAACUAUGCAAUAAUACAGUAAUAACAAUGGAUUAUUGCUUUCAUUAAUUAAUUCCCUUUUCACCCUCAAUCCCCCGCCCCCCUUUUUUUUUUCUUUCAUCCUAUUGUCAUAAUUCCAAUUUUAUUUAGGUUUUAAGAUAGUAUUAUUUAGUCUCUAUACAUCUACUAAACACGGAUACUAAUUUAACGUGGAAAAUAUAAUUCACAUGUCGUUGUUUUAAUUUAAUUUAUUCACAUUUUUAUCGUACUAGUACGUAUGAAUUUAUCAUCACAUCGAAGCAAACAUCUUAUAUUUAAGACAUAUUUUUACUUAUAAUGACGUCAUGUCAACAAUAAUUUUACUUGGCAAAACUUGAAAAUCAACCAAUCAUCUUUUAGAAAAAGAUUUUAAAAAAUUUAAAAGAAAAAAAAUUCUUAUCAUUAUUAUUCAAUUAAAACAUAAAAUAUUAAUUAAAUACAAUAAAUAUACAAUUAGCAAAAACUCCUUCAAGUAUACAUUAAAAGUGUCAUAAUAAUAAUUCUAAAAAAUUUUAGUUACAAAUAUUAAAAUUCUACAACUUAUACAUUUUAAUACUCUUAUUACUACAUUAUUUGGUCUACUUAUGCAUGCUAUAUAAGACACUACUACUCUUUAUUUCUUAAUCUCUCAUGCCAAAUAGCUAAAACUCCUUCAAAAAGUUUAAAUUUGCCACAUUAUUGUCUUACUAAACAUUCAAAUAUAUCAUAAUUAUAAAAUUAAUUUAUAAUUUUAUAUUUAUAUAUUUUAAUAUUUUUCAUUCUCAUUCAUUUUUCUAAACCCAAAUAAAUUUAAAUUUAACAUAUUUUCUUACUUAGUAUAUUCAAAUAUAUCAUAAUUAUAAAACUAAUUUAUAUUUUUGGUAUUUCUCAUUCUCAUUUAUUUUUUAUUUUUUUAAUAAUUUACAACCCAAAGAAUAUCAUAUGAAAAGAUAAAGUAUGACAGCUAAAACAAAUGUAAAAAUUUUUUGCACAUUGUGCGAAUCUCACUCUAAUUUAUCUUAAACCACACAUGAUACUACGACAUAACUCACUUUAGUAUAUUAUAUACUAAACACAAUACCAAAAUUUAAUUUAGUCUUUAUCUUUCAGUCUCUGCCUCUCAAUCUCAAUCUUUUUUCCAAAUGUAAUUUUAACAAAAAACAACCUCUAAAUCUCUUCGACACACAAGAAGAGCUACAGAAUUCUUCUUUUACAAUAUGUGAUAGUGAUGAACUUUAGAAAUAAUAAUCUCUCUCAAAAUUAGAUCAUAUAAUUACAAAUAAAGUACUGAGUAAUUUCAAACUACCAAUCAAAUAUUUAUCAAAAAUACUUUGAAACUUAUAAAUUUUGAUCACAAUGAAAGAUUAAGCAUAAAAGAAAGUUGUGUAUUAAAACAAAGGACCUAUACCUUUAUUUAUAAGCAUUCAUGCACCCAUAAACAUUAGGAGUGAGUGAAAAGAAUAAAUAACUAAAAAGUGUUUGUUUGCUCGUCAAGUCCGGUCGUGGAACGAGGUGGUCGGUUACGUGAAACAGUUGAUGAGAGACAGGACCUGAAUGAAAACGCCACGGGUAGGACAGGUUCACGAUUUGUCGGUUGGAUGAUAGAUGGGAUUACCUACAAGCAGCGAUGGAUUNNNNNNNNNNNNNNNNNNNNNNNNNNNNNNNNNNNNNNNNNNNNNNNNNNNNNNNNNNNNNNNNNNNNNNNNNNNNNNNNNNNNNNNNNNNNNNNNNNNUAUAAUAUUAUAAAAUAUGAUUACUAAUAGGAUAAAAUUAUGUGAUUAUUAAUAGGAUUCAAUCUCUAAUGAUGAAGUUCUUUUGAAAUAUUUUUCCGUUACUAAUAGGAUAAAAUUAUAAACCUAAAUUAAUUAAUUAAUAAAAUUAAUUUACAAUUCUACACAAAUUGAAAAGUUCAAUAUCAAAUUAUAAAUACAAAAUUAACAGGCAUGUGCCAUUUAAAUUAAUUUCUAACGGCAGCAACUAAUAAUACCUCAAAUUCUUAAUUCAAAAUAACUCAAUACACAAAAAUAAUUAACAAACAAAUUAAUAAAACUAAAUUAGCAAUUACAUCUUCAGAACAAAUUAAUCACAAUUACCAAACCAACUAUAUCAAUUAUCAAACAAUGAAGCAAAUAAACAAUGAAGCAACUAACUAACUAAGCAACGAGGCAACUAAGCAAGUAGAUAUCGGUUUCGAUGAAUCAUGAAUGUACCAAGAGUCCAAGACUGAAGUGCUAAACUCCAGGAGGCAGAACCCAGUACCGGUGCGGCGGCCAGCGGCAGCAGGCAACAGGAUGAAGGUUUCUUUAACGGCUGAAGACUGAACACUGAACUAAGAAGAGGAUCCUAGAAUAAAAAGGAAGAACCAGAAGAGGAUUGCUAUUUGCUGAAGAAGAAGAAGAAAGAACCAGACACCAAACUAUCGAUUGAGGGAACGCAGAAGAGAAAAGCAGCAGUAAAACCACACAAAUCACAACCAGUGACAUAGAAGAGGAACGCAGUUACGCAAAAGAAGGUAGAACCAUCAGAUGUGGCGCAACGACGAUGUAAGGAGAAACCGACGAAGCCACGCAGGAGAAUAGUGGCGAUACAAGGAGAAACCGACGGAGCCACGCAUGAGAAAUUAAAUGCUGAAUAGGGUAGUGAUGUCAGCGGAAGUGAGCCAAUGACACUGCCAUACUGGCGGAGAUGUGGAGUGGCGACAGUAACUCUAGAGCCUAGAGGGAAGAGGCUGGAGUAGAGGAAGAAAAUUGGAAAAGGGGAGAAGAAGAAGAGCUAGGAAGUUGAGGUGGGAGCAAAAUUAAUUAUGUAGUGGGGGCAACUGUGAUAUUUCACUAAGAACUACUCACUACUUUUUGAAAUUUCACUAGGGACAGUUAUCCCACUGUCUUGUGAAUACAUCCAGCUCUGCCUGUAAAAACACUCUGAUGCUAAAGUAAGCGUUUGUACGAAAAGGCGGCUAAUUAGGGUAAGGAAGCGACGUACCUCGAGGAGGAGUAGGUCCCGAGCUCCCCUUAUAUACCUUAUACUUCGGGUGGGCUCCUUUUGCUCAAGCCCAAGCGUCUAGAAGCUUCUGACAGUUCAUCGGGUCGUCAGCCCAUCUAAUGGACCUCCAGUCGUUAUUGGGCAGGGCCAAAACAAAAAACAUACAUUCUUGGUAGGAUCUUGUGUCUACAAGGAUGUUAGGAUCGAUCCUCAAAAUUAAAGAUCAAUCAUCUAGUUUAAAUUUGUGUAAAAUACAGCACUACAACAUAUGAGGAUUGAUCCUCCAUUUUAACAUAGAAAUUGAUCCUCUCUAGACUUAGAUUUUAGCAAAUUUGAAUUUCGAGUCUUAGUACCUUAUGCAUGAUUGGAUUGGAACAUAGUUAUAGCUAAUGUGAUCAAACAAAAUAUUAAUAAUUUAAUAUUUAUCUCAAUUAAAUCAAAUAAAUAAUUAAUUAUAUAACACCUUUAAAAUUAUUUGUCAAAAUACUUAAUUAAGGUCGAGUUUAAUCGGGUCAGACUUGAUUGUAUCCGAUUAUCUGUUGGGUCUAAAACUAAUAUAAUCGACUUUGAUUGGAUAAUUGAGUUAUCCAUACCUAGUGACAAAUUUAGAAAAUUUUAGAAAUGGGGACAAAAUAAAUAAUAAUAUAGCAAAAUAAUAAAAAAUUAUUACUAUCAAUAUAUUUAGAUAUUUAAAUUUUGGAAUAUAUUAGUUAGUCAAAUUUUUAAUAAAUAAAUGUAAUUAAUCUAUCUAAAAGUAUAUUAAUUUAAAAAUAUUUUUUAUUUUAAUAUUUUAACAAUAUUGCAUGAGUAAUACAUAUAUUAUUGAUACUAGAACUUAGUUAGGUAUCUAAUAUCCGUCAAAUUAUAUUUUUUAUUAUUUUUUAUAUGACAUAAAAAAGAAUUAUAACUCAAUAGCUAAAAAUCUAUAAGGAGUAUAACUUGAAUGAACUUAUUUAGAAUUUUCACUAUUUUUUAGGUUUAAAUUUUCACUAAAUUUAUGUGCGAGGGACAAAAAACUUAUAAAAAAUAAAAUUUUAAAUCAAACAACCACAAUCCUCUUUAUAGGUAGAUAUAGAUAAAUUAAUAUUUUUACGAUUAAGUAAAUAUUUAAAUAAAUUUUUUANNNNNNNNNNNNNNNNNNNNNNNNNNNNNNNNNNNNNNNNNNNNNNNNNNNNNNNNNNNNNNNNNNNAAUAUGAAUAUUUUUUACACAAUAUUUUUUUUUAAGUAUUGGGGCAAAGGAACAAUUAUCUACAUAUACAUAUAUACUUGUCAUUGGUUUUUGAAAAACUCAACAAGAAUAAUUACCCCACAUAAGUAUAUAUAGAUUCGUUCUUCUCCGUAUCCGUAAACACCUAGACUUUUUUUUCUAAACAAAGAAAGCUCAACACAUGAGAGUGGAGCAUAAAACAGACAUAAACAGAAAAAAAUCUAAAAACAAAAGGUAACAAUCCUAUGUCAUUUCUGGCAUUGUCAUCAACAACCAGUAGGAUCAAUACCAGUCCACUCCUUAUAGUUCAAAAACGUUCUGUUUUGUAUGACACCAACAUUAACCUCUUGAUUGUUGAAGAUCCUGUUAUUGCGUUCUAACUAGACAUUCCAAACAACCGCAAAAAAACCAGCCAGCCACCUCUUAUGCUCUUCUUUUCUAUUUGGCGUUUCAUUCCAACUCUCAAACAAGCCUUUAAUGCUUCCUAGGACAGCCGAAUCUUUGUGAAAACAUCUCAACCAGACGCACCACACCUGCCAUGUAAACUCACAGAAGUCAGAACACAAACAAAUGAUGAACACACUCGAUUUCCUUUUUACACAAGACACAGAUAUUAUCAUGCUGUUGAAGUAUGCCUAAUCUACUCGACCUUUCUUUAGUAUUCACUCUUCCCACUAACACAAACUAACCAAACAGCUCGACUCUAGUCGGAGCCAACCCUUUCCAAAUCGCACUUGUGAAGCUAUAACUCGUAAUCUCCUCCGAAAGAUUCUCAGAUUGCAACACCUGCAAAAAAGAGUUAGUAGAAAAAAUACCUUUAUUAUCAAAUUUCCAAACAAGAUUAUCCUCUCUGUUAGCUGAUAGUUUCACUGGUCUUAACCUCUCAUGAAGUUGGUGCACUAGUUCCAACUCCUAUUGAAAUAACUCGCUCCUCCAAUGAAAAUUCCAAAUCCACUUUAACCCAUCCCAGAACCCACAAUCCCCUAUCACAGAUUCUUGUUGGUUUGAAACAGAGAAGAGUCUUGGAAAACUCGCUUUCAGAGGACCACCAUAGACCCAGUUAUCUUCCCAGAAACGUGUUCUAUGCCCAUUUCCAACUUCCAUUGUCAGCCCACUCAUCAUUUUUUUUUACCCGAUGUUCCUUUAUAUUCAACUGACAUAUGUCUUUCCAAGGGCCACCCUUUACUGGUAGAGUCUGACUAGAAAGCAUAACCUGAGAAUUCAAAUUAUUACAGGAGCAUACAAUCUUCUUCCAUAACGGACAAUCUUCCUUAGAGAACCGCCACCACCACUUAAACAGUAGCGCUGUGUUCUUGAGCACUGCAUCCCCACCCCCAACCCUCCAGCCUUCUUAGGAGCCUGAACCAUUUCCCACUUCACUAAAGGUAUACCGUUGUUACCAUCCUUCUUACACCAUAGGAAUCUCCUCUGCAAGGCAAUCAACUUGUCAGCGACCGCCUUCGGCAUCUUGUACAAGCUAAGGUAGUAAAUCGGCAGGCUAUUCAACACUGAUUUAAUAAGAACUAGCUUGCCUGCUUUAUUUAGAACCUUCGCUUUCCAUAAGCUGAGCUUCGCUUCCACCUUAUUUAUGACAGGUUUCGAAGUCUUCACCAAACGCGGGUUCGUUCCUAGAGAAAUUCCGAGAUACCUCACAGGUAAAACAACUUGCUUGCAUUCUAGAAGGCCACACACAUGCUCCACCCGCUCCUGCUCACAAUUAACUAAGAUGAGAUUCGACUUAUCAAAGUUAAUGCUCAAACCCGACAUCAGCUCAAAACACCGCAGCAACCUCUUAUAAUUCACAAUUGUCUCUGUCUCCGGAGGGCAAAAUAGGAUAGUGUCAUCCGCAAAUUGAAGAUGUGACAGUUCAAUAUGUUCUCUCCCAACCCGUAGCGGAGUAAUACGCUCAUUCCUUACAGCUUCUUCCAACAUCCUAUGCAACACAUCCACCACAAGAACAAACAGAAGAGGAGACAGAGGAUCUCCUUGCCUUAGGCCCCUCUCCAUCUUAAAUGGCUUGGAUGAUGAUCCAUUCACUAGGACCGACAUAGUUGCCGUACUUACACACUCCUUCACCCAACUCCUCCAUAUUUGCCCGAAUCCCAUCUUCUGUAAUACAAUAUCCACAAAGCUCCAUCUAACUCUAUCAUAUGCUUUCUGAAAAUCUAGCUUUAUGAUUAUUGCCACCUUCUUUCUAUGCGUCUUGAGCCAUUGCACCGUCUCACAGGCAAUAAGGGCGCCAUCAUGAAUCUUUCUACCCUUCACAAAAGCAGUUUGCGUCUCUCCUACCAAUUCAGGCAUAACUGUUCUCAACCUCCUCACCAUAACCUUAGAAAUCACCUUAUAGACACACCCGACCAUACUAAUCGGCCAGAAGUCCUUGAUCUCAUUAGCACCCACAAAUUUCGGAGCUAGCGUCACCCACGUGACAUUCGCAUCAGUUGGUAGUUUCGCACUUUGGAAGAACCCCAACACCGCUGCAGUGAACUCCUGACCAAUCUCUUCCCAACAUUGUUUGAUAAAGUUCAUAUUGUACCCAUCACUCCCUGGUGCUUUAGAAGAUUCACAAUCCGAAACUGCAUUCCUAAUCUCCUCCACCGACGGCAUGACUUCCAAGGCCUCCGCCUCAGCUCCAUUAAUCUGUCUCACCAAACCCUCCCGAAACCCAAUUUUCGGCGCAUAUUCUUGCCUAUACAAGUCCUUAUAAAAUCUUAUAAUUGCAACCUUUAUCCUAGCCUGAUUUCGUACAAUUCGCCCAUGAAUCCUUAAAGCGUCAAUCCUGUUAUUCCUGCUUCUUGCCGAGGCAAUGUUAUGGAAGUAUCGACUAUUCCUAUCUAUGUUUCUAGCAUGCUGCGACCUAGACAUCUGCUUCCAGUGAACCUCUUUCCGAACAUACCACUUCUCACAAAAGCUCACCAACGCCUUCCUUCUAGCUUCCGUCGUUCCAUCAUAAGUGUCGUCACUUACCUGGCUAUCCACCCUCUUAAUCUCCUCCUCCAGCAACAGUAAUCUCCUAUCCAUGUCUCCAAAGUUGUCCUUGUGCCAUUUUUGCAAAGAUACCGUCAAGGCCUUCAGCUUACAAGUAAACUGAGCAUCCCCCAAGUUUCUUCAUUCAUCUCUAACCAUCCUCAGGAAACCCUCAUGCGUAAACCAGGAAUCCAGGCUUCUAAAUGGGCGGGGGCCCCUACUAACUCUUGAAACUUCCACAAUUAACGGGCAGUGAUCUGACAACCCUCUUGGUCCACCUUUAAUUCGGAUGUCAGGAAAUUAAACCCACAAUAUAGCUCAGCUCCUCCCAAACCACCCGCUUUUCCUCCCUCCCAAAUGCCCCGUACAGCAAACAAAACGCACAAUUAAAAUUACUUUUCGUCAACAUGCCUUCAACACACAGCCAUCUCUCUCCUUUAUAACAAUUGCUAGAUUUAAAUAUCGCAUCGUCCCACAUUAAAAGCAAGCCCCCCGAAGCCCCUCUAGACUCCACAUACUCGCACCCCGCAGUACUAUACCCCCAAAUUCGAGCAACAUCAAAUUUAGAGAUUGCCUCCCUUUUUGUUUCAAUCAAGCCUAACAUAUUAAGUUUGUAAUUUCUCUUCAAAGAUUUCACCAUACUCAAUUUACCAUCCCCCCUCAACCCCCGAAUAUUCCAACAGCUCAAAAUUAUUUAAACAAAUUUUUACUCACCUUACUGUGAUUUUUAGGCCGACUCCUUCGUACUAUUUUGUAUGUUUCGCCAUCUUCUUCCUCACUGCUAAUUUUUCAUUCUGAGCUUGCAAAAUCGCCAUAAUAUCCUCUUCUUCAUCAUGUAGAACCGCACCCGAUUCCACUGCCAAAGUCCAAGUGGCCUCAUUUUCCUUCAUCUGUUCUUCUUUUGUUGGUCUGUCUCCAUCUGUCCCAAUCUCAAUGUCUGUCUCCGAUACCGUCUAUGCAUCUUCCCUCCCCCCGCUCCCAUUAUUGGCUCUUCGAUGUACCCCUGUAUCUACCAUUUUGGCUGGUUCCGAAACACUAUCCUUCCCAUCUACCUGUGCCAUGUCCUUUGAGCAGUUAUCGCACCCAACACGACCAUUUCCAGAGCCCUCCAUACCCACCAAGCCCUGUGUCCUCCCUGCCUCACCAAGGCCGAGCUCCCCUAUCAACCGAGACAGUCCCCGAUCACCCUCUUUGCUAACCCCGCUCACCCUGCCUUCCCUUCCCAGACCAGGCCUCGGUUCUCUACUAUCUUCUCCACAAGGUUCCUGUUCUAGGGGAUCUUCUCUCACCGUAGCCCCUUCACCGAAGCCUAGAAGGUUAAGGCAACCACCCCUACCUUGUACAGUCAUGCCGACGUCCCGCAUGGCUUCCUCACCCAGGUCAUGAGCAGCCCUUGAAACCCCAGCGCUCACCGUGUCCGUUUUGCGUGCGGCAUUCUCAAUCAGUGACCNNNNNNNNNNNNNNNNNNNNNNNNNNNNNNNNGUGGCCCAAUCUCCUUCUCUUUGAAACACGGGCCCUGCGAAUACAAGCCCACUACAUCACCCUCAACGAAACAGCACUUAAUUGGGCUAUGAAAAUGUGAGCCCAACAGAUUAAUGCCACAGGACCUUACACCCUUAUUUAGCCCCCCACCUCGAUCCAUGUCAAAUUCCUGUGUAACAGUUCUUUCUGACCCCACUUCCUCAUUUAAUCCAAAUUUCAUAUAACCCGCCCUUCCAUUAACCUCUGAAUCACUAACAGAAUCAACCCUGAUAUUCCCCAAUUUCAAAAAAGAAGAAUCGGAAUUUAAAUCAUUCAAAAAGUCAUCCUGAAUGACCGUUCUGUCCUUCACUUCAUCGGUGAUCCUUGAACCUAAUUCCAUCAGGUCUGUCGCCGGAUUCCACAGCAUCGCUUCUUUCGACAUGCCACUGCUACAAGAACCAGAAUUUCUGAUCAUAAAAUAGUCUUCUCAUCCUCCCCCCUCAAGUCUUUCACCACUUGUCUCUAUAUCGACCUCUUUCACAAAGACAUGAAACUCCCGAUUACCAACAGUGACGUAAACCCAAUCUCUAAUGACGUCAAAAACAGACGUCUCAACUUGGACUCGCCCAGCCGUAAAGGAAGAGCCUGCUUUGUCGUUGCGUCGCAGCUAAUCACCUCGCCCCAUUGUCCACCUAAAGUUUUAAACAUUUCUGGAGAUCAGGCAUGUAGAGGCACUCCACAGCACUCCAACCAAACUUUUCGAGUCCCACAGCAUAAAGACUCAUCCCACUUCCAGACCCUAUGAACAAAUUGCAACAGGCUAUCCACAAUUUGAACGUAAAAGUCUCAUCUGCAUGCUGCGCCGUAUCAAACGUCAAUAAAACUUUUAGCGCACCUAUCUCGCUAACUUCCACAAUAUGAGGCAAAUUCUUGCAAACUGCUCUUUUCAACAAUUGGAGGUCUAUGGGUUUCAAAGCGCUUCCUAUCAAGCUCCUCGCCAACCAAUCCAAAUUCUGUUCCACUACUGGCACUUCAAUUCUCCUCGUGCUCCCAUGUUUGUCCGAGCCUUGUAUACUCCGCUGUACCCCCCUUCACCGUGAACAAUAUACACUAGUGUCCCACCUUGAAGGUCCGUAUGCUCUCUUUCAUGCUGGACAAUCGGCUUUCCAUGUUUCACUCGUUUCCUCUCUUGCGUUUGCCUUCGAAAUUUAGCUUCCAUUACGGAUACAAUCUUUCCUCGUAAGCUCAAGCGAUCCAUCUCCGCGAUAGCCUUCAAAGCACCCCCUUUUGUCGUGUACCGCACAAACGCAAACAGAUAAACCCUGCCAUGUUUAUGCUUUCGAGAAAGAUAGAUAUCGUUAAUCCUUCCCGUCCAAUUGAACAAGUGAUAUAGUUCCUUCUUCGAAAUAUCUUCUGGGAGAUUAUCCACAAACACAGAGAAAGAUUCAUUUUCCAAGCGAUGGUAUUCCUCUCGAUUCCAAACCCUAGGAUCCUUUGAAUGUGGUUGCCAAACCCUAAACCUACCCCGCUCAGUGUUUCCCCCCUUCUCGUUCUCUCGCUCUCUCAUCCUACCUAUUUUACCCUUAGACUUUAAAAUAAGAAAAGUAUAGGUUACAAACAACAUUGGUGAAUAAUGUGAAUAAUAGAGAUAUCGAAUAUUUAUUUUAUUAGGUGUGCAGAUGGUUAUUCUAAUAUUAAGAUUUAGAUGGAUAAUUUAGAAGUAUAGUGCAUUUUUAUUUUAUUAAUGAUUGUUCAUGUUAUUCAAAAAAAUAAUUAGUUACCUAGCAUAAUCCUUAAAAUAAUGUUUAUUUAACAUUCAUAUUCACCGGUAAUAUAAAAACGAUAGCACACAUUACCAAAGAUAUAAAUACGAUAGCACAUGCCUAUGGAUUGUUGAUGAGAACCAAAUAAGAUGUUGUCAUAUAUAAAAUUUAAUUUUUAAAAUUUUACACCUAGAUGAUGUUAUAGUAAGCGAAUUUUAUAGCGACAAUAAGUCAAUAACCAAAAUUUCAAAAAUUAAUGGGGAUAUUUUCGUUAUUUUGAAAUUAAUUACAAAUAACCAAAUUUUGGACGGUGAGAUUAGUUCAUAUCUCAGUAAAUAUGUCUAUAUAACAAAACCUGUACAUUAAUUAAGAAAAAGUGAUAUUAGGACACUUUCAAGAGACUUACCUUUUCCUUUUUAACAAACAAAUAAUCAGCACAUUUAAAAAAAAUGAAAAAUCAAUACUAUAAGUCAGCAGAAAGAGCAUUCGUUAAUUUAUGAUUAAUCAAAGAAUACAAAAAAACCGCCGUCAAGUGUUCUUGUAAAUCCUUGGUUUCAUUGUACCUCAUGUUCGUUGACUUGUCGAAGAUCUUCGACAACUGGACCUUGAGGAUGGAAGGAUGAAAAGGAGUGGCUCCUAUUAUGACAGGAUUUUGGUGUCCCUUCUUCUAAUCUACCUUUCAUUUGCAAUGGGCUCCCGAUCUGUGUGGAUGUAGGUGAGGGAGUAAGCAUCAGUUCGAUCGCGCUCAUCCUCCCUCUUGGUACUUNNNNNNNNNNNNNNNNNNNNNNNNNNNNNNNNNNNNNNNNNNNNNNNNNUCGAGUGCGUGAAUGGCUUGGAUGAGCUUCUGAGCGUGAGCAAGAGUUCUGACUAUGUGCUUGGGAUAGUAGCAAUUUUUCACCGUCAGUUUUCUCACCAUGUUCUGGACCAUGUGCCUUGGCCCUUGCAUGAUUCGAGAGCUAUCACUACCGGUACCACCAAACAGGCGCUUCUCCAGAGAUCGAGCAUGGGAGUGGCGAGUGGGGGUUUCUAUACGUUCCCUAGAAGUUCCCGAAAUUACUCUGCUCCUAAGGCGGUCCCCUGGAUGUCCGGUAGCACCUUCCCUCCCUCAUACCUCUUCCAGACGAGGGAUAAGCUUCGUGUUCCGCUCGCGUCAGGCCCCACAGACGGCGCCAAUGUUCGUUUGCUCAUUAAGUCUGAUCGUGGAUCGAGGUGGUCGGUUACGAGAAACAGUUGAUGAGGGACAGGACCUGAAUGCGAACGCCAUGGGCAGGAGAGGUCCACGGAUUGUCGGUUGGACAGUGGGUGAGACUACCUGCAAAGACACUCCGAUGCUAAAGUAAGCGUCCGUACGAAAAUGCGGCUAAUUAGGAUAAGAAGGUGACGUACCUCGAGGAGGGAUAGAUCCCUCUCCUUAUAUACCUUGUACUUCGGGUGGGCCCCUUUUGCUCAGGCCCAAACGGCUGGAAGCUUCUGAUAACUGUCCAGGUUGCUCCCAAAAGGUAAUAUUACAUAUGGGUCGCCCUAUCUGAUUCGGGUCGGUGACCCGUCGAGUCGUCAGCCCGUCGAAUAUAAUGGACUUCCAGUCUUUAUUGGAUUGGGCCAGAACAAAAAGCAUACGUUCUUGGCAGGAUGUUGUGUCUACAAAAAUGUAUAGGAUUGAUCCUCAAAACUAGAGAUCAAUCAUCUAGUUUAAAUUUGCGUAAAAUAUAUCACUACAGCACAUGAGGAUCGAUCCUCCAUUUUAACAUAGGAAUUGAUUCUCUCUAAACUUAGAUUUCAGCAAAUUUAAAUUUCAAAUCUUAGCACCUUAUGCAUGAUUGGAUUGGGUCCUACUCCCAUCAUCUAUUAUAAACAAAUUAAAAUAAUCAUAACACGACUCAUACUCAUCUUCAAUUAUAUAUUUUUAAAAUCAGAGUUAAAAUUAUUUUACUUUGAUUAAAAUUUGAUUUUAAUUUAAAAGAUAAACUUAAUUUACUUUUGACAAGUGAAAAACUAAAGUCCUGCACCUAAAUUUUAUUUGUUGGACUUCUCCUUGUUAUUAAUAUUUGUUGCAUCCAUAAUUGAUUUCUUGAUAAAUUUGUUUGAAUUUGAUGCAAGAAAAUAAAAAUAUAUUUUUUAAUCCGUUGUAAAACGGUUUUUACAUCGAAUUUUUGAUAAAAAGUUUUUUCUUUCAAAGUUACUCAUCAAAUUUGAUGUCAUAUCAUAUAAUAUAUGUCAUGCAAUUACGAUAUUAAGUUAAAGUCAAACAAAAGAUUAAGUUCGUUGUUUUUUAAAAUACUAAUUAUCUUACGUAUGAAAAUUACAUAUUGUCAGUCAUCAAAACACAUAAAUAUACAUAUGGUGCAAGAUUAAAAAAUGCAUUCUAUUAAGAUAUCAUAUCUAACAUAUGUGAAUCUUUAGCUUUGGUAUUUUUCCUAUUUUUUUUUUCUUGAUUUAGGAUGUCAUUAAAUUUUCCUAUGUAGCAAAUGGGCUCGUUUCAGUAUCAUAACUAUUUGCCAGCUGCUACCACAACUUUAUUCUUUCUUUAACAUUUGGAUUUUCUUACACAAAAAUGCAUCUUUAUUUAUUGCUAGUUCUCUCUUUGAUGCUGGGAAUAAUAAAAUAUGGUUCAAAGAAUAAAGAAAAAUAUCAAUGCAUUUUUUAUGCAUUAAACAUAACUCUUUGAAUAGACUCCGAAAUUUUACAUAAAAAAAGUUAUCAAAUUGUCAUUUUUCUUUUUGCAAAUCUUCUCAUGUUUUUCUCCUUAGCUCGAAUUUUAAUUAAGUAUAUAAUAAACUGAUUGUAUUGUUUGUUCAGUUCUUUUAUCUCGAAAAUUUAUUGUAAUAACAUCUUUAAAAUUAUUAAUCAAAAUAUGUAAGGCAAAAAAUUAAAAUAAAUUUAACUCCAGAGUGCUGCGCGGUGGUGUCAAAGGCGGACUUGAAAUGCCUUUGCGGAUUAAAGAAUAGUCCCUUGGUGCCAACUCUGGGGAUCGAUCUAAACCUCGCCUUUCAGCUUCCUGCAAAGUGUAACCUUUCUCUUCCUCCUCAAUGUUAAUGUAAACACAAACUACUCAAUAAUCAAUACUACAGUAAUAACAAUAGAUUACAGCUUUCGCUAACUCCUUUCUCACCCUCAACUCCCCCUCCCUUUUCUCUUCUCCUUUUUCUUUCUUUUCUUUUAUUCUAUAGUCAUAAUUCCAAUUCAAAAAUACUAUUCACACACAUAAAUCAGUCAUUAAAAUCGACUACCAAUAAAUUUGUUUAUAAAUACAUAUAUAAUUUAAUUUAUUUUUAACGUGUAUUUAUAUUUUAACAUAUAUUUUAUACGAAUGUGACUAACUUUAUUGGCUGAUUUUGGUGUACACAUAACAUAAUUAAUUCUAAUUUUAAUUUGACUUUAAUAAAGACGUUUACGUUCGAAUUGGUUUUUAUUUGGAGAAAAAUCAUAAUCAGACUGAUUAACGGUUCAUAUUAGUUCAAAUUUAAGUUUUUUUGUGACUAAACUCGAACUAAUUAAAUUAAUUGACAUUGAUUAAAUCUGAGUUGGAUCAAUUUAGAUGAUUGAAUAUUCAAUAAAAAUAAAAUUAAAAAAAUUGACUUUUUUAAAUCUUUCAAUAACAACAACAAUAACAAUAACAACAACAAUAAUAAUACAAUGCACAUCGAUUCAAACUUAAAUAAAUAUCAUAAUUUAAAAAUAUUAUAGAGUUAAUAGAUAAAAUUGUAUAUAUAUUAUUAGAUUUUAUUUAUUAUUUUUAAUUAAUAUUAGACUAAUCCAGUUAUUUCGAGUUCUACAACUCCAAAACUAAUAACUUAACUAAUUAAAGUUGAAUUUAAUCGGGUCAGACCUAAUUGUAUUCAAUUAUUCGUCGGAUCUAAAACUAAUGUAAUCGAUUUUGGUUGGAGAAUUGGGUUAUCUUUAUCCAAUGACAAAUCCAAAAAAUUUUAGAAGUGGCAACAAAAUAAAUAAUAAUAUAGCAAAAGAAUAAAAAUUAUUACUAUCAAUAUAUUUAGAUAUUUAAAUCUUAGAAUAUAUUAAUUAGUCAAGUUNNNNNNNNNNNNNNNNNNNNNNNNNNNNNNNNNNNNNNNNNNNNNNNNNNNNNNNNNNNNNNNNNNNNNNNNNNNNNNNNNNNNNNNNNNNNNNNNNNNNNNNNNNNNNNNNNNNNNNNNNAUACAUUUAUUAUUAAUACUAGCACUUAGUCAAGCAUCUAAUAUCCGUCAAAUUAUAUUUUUUAUUAUUUUUAUAUGAUAUAAAAAAAAUUAUAACUCAUUAGCUAAAAAAGUUUUAAGGAGUGUGUAAUAACUCGAAAAAAUAAAAUAAAAUAAAACAGAGAAAGAUAUGCAAAUAAAUAAAAUUGUGGGCCACACUUUUUUUCUUUUUUUUUAACCCUAAUCACACACAAACACACUGUCUCAACCUUCAAUCCCUCACUAGCCGUCACUCAUAACCAAAGAAAGAAUGGAACGAGAAGAUAGGGAGGAAUGAGAAAAGAACAUGGGAAUUGAAGAAGAGGAAAGAAAGGAAGAAAAAAGAGAAAAAGAUGGCGCCGGUGAAGGAGAAAUUGCUGAGCUACCGUAGCUGAGAAGAGGAGACAAUAAGAGAUAAAGAGGGAGGGUUUGAGCUCGAUGGUGAAGAAGGGAAGUGCCGUUGUGUCAUCGGAGCACGUCGUUGUUGGCGCUCUGUUGUUGGAACCGCCGCCAGAAGCCCUAGCCUUGUCAUCCUCUAAUCUGAUCGCUGCAGCUGCCGAGAAAGGUGGUGAUUGCUGCACCUCUAUUGUCAUUGUCGUGUAUUGUUGCUGCUGCUUGUCUUGCGUCGUUGUAUUUGUUCUACUUUGCUUCGUGCCUUAUUUGGGACUAUUCUCCCACGUUGAAACUACCACCUUCAACCCUUCAAAAUUACUUGGAUUCCAACUUUUAAUCUCUAUACUGAUGGCAUUCUGGUGUUGGUCUUCGAUCCUUUAGGACUAAUUUGUGAGUAAACUAUACAUUUAUAACCGUACCGUUAACCUUGUUUAUGUUUAUUCUGAGUUUUUAAUUAUAUCUAUAAAAUUAUUGUUGAAGAACUUUGAUUUGGUUAGAAUAAUUAUUUUAUUAUAGUUGAAUAAUUAUUUUUAUGAAGCUCAUAUUUUAGAAACUUUACAUGAGACUAUAUAUAUAUUUGAUGAAGUUUAGAUGUAUGUAACUCAGACCCUAGCUAGCAGGGGUAUUGCUAGCCUAACAUAUAGGCCACGCGUUAGAUCUGUUAUUCUUUUAGGACACACAAAAGAAAAGGGCUACUCAUAUAGGUGGAGCCGCCUAAGUGUGGACUUUUAAUUUGGUUUCUGUAUGAAAACUCCCUUAUUGAUUCACUUAUUCAUUUAAAUUUGUUCUAAAUAAAAUUAUUUUAUGAUAAUAUUUAUUGAUUUCAUGUGAAUUAUAGAUGUACUGUCUAGCCACUGAAUUACAAAACUCACUCUAUUUUUUUUUUAAAAAUAUUUUUCAGGAAUAAAUACUUGAUUAUGUGAGUCAUUCUAUUCAAGAUUAAUAAUCUACAAUAGGUACCUAUUCCUUGUUGAGUUCUUAAACGUUAUCUGCUUUAUAUGUCACAGGCAAGAUCUACCCAUAUUUAUUUAUUUUAUCCUUUGUUAAAAUAUGCAAUUAUGCAUUCUAAAACUUGUAAAUUUAUUUUUAAAAAACUAUUUGUAAUCUUAUUUAUCUCAUAUUCGAAUUUGUUAGGAUUGUCAAGAGACUAUUUCCCUAAGUGUCCAUCAUGACUUAUUUUAAAUCGUGACAGAGUAUAACUCGAAUGAACUCAUUUAAAAUUUUUACUAUUUUUUUUUUGUCUAAAUUUUCACUAAAGUUAUGUGAGAGAGACAAAAAAUUUAUGAAAAAAAUAAAAGUUUAAAUCAAACANNNNNNNNNNNNNNNNNNNNNNNNNNNNNNNNNNNNNNNNNNNNNNNNNNNNNNNNNNNNNNNNNNNNNNNNNNNNNNNNNNNNNNNNNNNNNNNNNNNNNNNNNNNNNNNNNNNNNNNNNNNNNNNAAAAUUAUCCGAUAAAUCUAACAACAUAUGUGAUAAGAAUUAAAUAUGGUUCUUUUUGUUAUAAGUUGAUUUGGACAAUAUUUAAUUUAGAAUUAAUAAUGUUAAUACGAGAUUAUGAAGAAGAAUUGUGAUUAAUUAUUAUAGUAUGAUGAAACUAUAUGCACCAUAUAAUGAAAGUGAGAGUACUAGAUCAAUGACUUUAAUAUACUAAUUAAUUAAUUAAUUAAUUAAUUAAUACCCUUNNNNNNNNNNNNNNNNNNNNNNNNNNNNNNNNNNNNNNNNNNNNNNNNNNNNNNNNNNNNNNNNNNNNNNNNNNNNNNNNNNNNNNNNNNNNNNNNNNNNNNNNNNNNNNNNNNNNNNUCAUUAACUACUUUAAAUUUAAGUAAUAUGUUUAUGCAUAUUACUUAAAUUUAAAUAAUCAUUCUAACCCAAAAAAUAAUAAUUUUUGAAAAUUCAAUUACUCACUGCAUCUUUAUUACAAUAUUAUUUACUAGCAAACUAGAUAAUAACAAAUUAAAUAAUGAUUAAUUAAAUAUUUUCCUUCACAUUAACAACUAAUCUACACAUAAAUUAGUAAAUUACAUUAGCAUAACUAACUAUAUCAUAAUUGAAUUUAUGUAAUAAAUUAACAAUUAACCAAAUAAAUUAUGAAAAAUUCCAUUAACGAAUUACCUCAUUAAUAUUUAUUAAAUGAAUUAAUAACUAAAUUAAUAUUAUCAUGUAAAAUAAAUAUUAUGAUAAAAAUUAAAUUUUCAAAAUUUAAACCAAACUCUCAAUCUUCAACCUUAAACCCCUUAUCAUUAAAUCCUAAAAUUCUAAACCCUCUAAUCUUAAAAUCAAAAUUUUAAACCAUCCAACUCUAAACAAAAAACUACAAAUCUUAAUUUCUUAAUCAUAAAUUUUAAACCAUCCAAUUCUAAACUCUAACUAAUCUAAUUUUAAACUCUAAAUCCUAAAGUAUCCUACACUAAAUCCAAAACCAAACAACACUAAACUCUAAAUACUAAAUUAUUUUAUUCAUGAGUUUAAAAUAAAUAAAAUAAAAAAAAGGUUUAAAAGACUUAUAUAAUCUAGUUUUAAUAUGUUAGUCUUUAUUUAAAUAUUAGGAAUACUAAAAUAAAAAAAUUGAAACCCAAGUGGCAAGAAAAAUGAGCUAAAUAAAAAACAUCAAUGCAUUCCUUACGCAUUAAACAUAGCCCUCAUAGUAGACUCCGAAAUUUUACACAAAAGAAGUUAUCAAACUGCCAUUUAUCUUUUUACAAAAUAAAUAUGUUAUAAAUAUGACAUGUAAAAAUGAUAACACUUUAAAAAAUAUGAAUCAAAAUACGUAAGAUGAAAAAAUUAAUACAAAUUUAGACAAAAUCAAUUCAUUCAUUUUAGUUGCAUCAAAUAAUAAUUAAUAUUAUUGAUUAGUUAUAGUUAAUAUGAUCAAACAAAAUAUUAAUAAUUUGAUAUUUAUCUCAAUCAAAUUAAAUAAAUAAUUAAUUAUAUAACAUCUUUAAAAUUAUUAGUCAAAAUAUGUAAGAUGAAAAAUUAAAACAAAUUAAAACAAAAUCAAUUUAUUUAUUUCAAUCGAAUAAGAUAAUUAAUGUAAUUAAUUAAUUAUAAUUGAUAUAGUAAAAUAAAUAUUGAAUAAUUUAAUAUUUAUCUCAGUUGAAUUAAAUAAUUAAUUAAUACAUUUAAAUGAAUUAAAUAAAAUAAAUAAAAGAUACCUUCCAUAAGAGAUAUUCACCAAGUUUAGAGAUACACAAUAAUGAAAUAUGUGAAAAGCAAUCUAAAAAACAAGGGUGAUUUUAGGUGAUGCAUUGAAUUAUGCGGCUAUAUAAGUGCAAAGCAGGAAGCAGUGUUUGACAUACAGACUUAAAAGUGAGAGAAGAAGAAGAACUGAAAAAGAUGGGUUCAAAAUCAUCAUGGUCAAUGGUGGCACUAGCAAUAAUGGCAUUAAGUGUGGUUGCAAUGCUUGAUGGUUGCAUGGCGCAAUCGUUCUGCAACACGUCACUUCCAGAGUUGUUCAAGUGCAAGCCGGCCGUGACGCCGCCAAAUCCUCAGCCGCCGACGCAAGAGUGCUGCGCGGUGGUGGCAAAGGCGGACUUGAAAUGCCUUUGCGGAUUAAAGAAUAGCCCCUUGGUGCCAACUCUGGGGAUCGAUCUAAAUCUCGCCUUUCAGCUCCCUGCAAAAUGUAACCUGUCUCUCCCUCCUCAAUGUUAAUGCUAUCUGUAAACACAAACUACUCAAUAAUCAAUACUACAGUAAUAACAAUAGAUUACAGCUUUCGCUAACUCCUUUCUCACCCUCAACUCCCCCUCCCUUUUCUCUUCUCCUUUUUCUUUCUUCCGUGACGCCGCCAAAUCCUGCGCCGCCGACUCCAGAGUGCUGCGCGGUGGUGUCAAAGGCGGACUUGAAAUGCCUUUGCGGAUUAAAGAAUAGUCCCUUGGUGCCAACUCUGGGGAUCGAUCUAAAUCUCGCCUUUCAGCUUCCUGCAAAGUGUAACCUUUCUCUCCCUCCGCAAUGUUAAUGUAGACACAAACUACUCAAUAAUCAAUACUACAGUAAUAACAAUGGAUUAUUGCUUUUGUUAACUCUCUUCUCACCCUCAACUCCCCUCUCCCUUUUUCUCUUCUCCUUUUUCUUUCUUUUCUUUUAUUCUAUAUUGUCAUAAUUCUAAUUCAAAAAUACUAUUCACACACAUAAAUCAACCACUAAAAUUAAUCAAUAAUAAAUUUGUAUAUAAAUACGUGUAUAAUUAUUUUUAAUAUAUAUUUAUAUUUUAAGUAUUUUUAACAUGUAUUUUAUAUAGGUGUGAUUGACUUUAGUGACUGAUUUUAGUGUACAGAUAAUAUAAUCAAUUCUAAUUUUAAUUUGGCUUUAAUAAAAACGUUUACGGUUUGAAUUGGUUUUUGUUUGGAGAAAAAUCAUAAUCAAAUCGAUUAAUGGUUCAUUUUAGUGCGAAUUUAAAAUUUUUUGUGACUGAAUUUGAACUAAUUAAAUUAAUCCACAUCGAUUAAAUCUGAGUUAGAUCAGUUCGGAUGAUUGAAUAUUUAAUAAAAAUAAAAUUAAAAAAAAUUGGUUUUGUUUCUAAAAAUCCAAAAUCCNNNNNNNNNNNNNNNNNNNNNNNNNNNNNNNNNNNNNNNNNNNNNNNNNNNNNNNNNNNNNNNNNNNNNNNNNNNNNNNNNNNNNNNNNNNNNNNNNNNNNNNNNNNNNNNNNNNNNNNNNNNNNNNNNNNNNNNNNNNNNNNNNNNNNNNNNNNNNNNNNNNNNNNNNNNNNNNNNNNNNNNNNNNNNNNNNNNNNNNNNNNNNNNNNNNNNNNNNNNNNNNNNNNNNNNNNNNNNNNNNNNNNNNNNNNNNNNNNNNNNNNNNNNNNNNNNNNNNNNNNNNNNNNNNNNNNNNNNNNNNNNNNNNNNNNNNNNNNNNNNNNNNNNNNNNNNNNNNNNNNNNNNNNNNNNNNNNNNNNNNNNNNNNNNNNNNNNNNNNNNNNNNNNNNNNNNNNNNNNNNNNNNNNNNNNNNNNNNNNNNNNNNNNNNNNNNNNNNNNNNNNNNNNNNNNNNNNNNNNNNNNNNNNNNNNNNNNNNNNNNNNNNNNNNNNNNNNNNNNNNNNNNNNNNNNNNNNNNNNNNNNNNNNNNNNNNNNNNNNNNNNNNNNNNNNNNNNNNNNNNNNNNNNNNNNNNNNNNNNNNNNNNNNNNNNNNNNNNNNNNNNNNNNNNNNNNNNNNNNNNNNNNNNNNNNNNNNNNNNNNNNNNNNNNNNNNNNNNNNNNNNNNNNNNNNNNNNNNNNNNNNNNNNGAUUCAAACUUAAAUAAAUAUCAUAAUUUAAAAAUAUUAUAGAGUUAAUAGAUAAAAUUGUAUAUAUAUUAUUAGAUUUUAUUUAUUAUUUUUAAUUAAUAUUAGACUAAUCCAGUUAUUUCGAGUUCUACAACUCCAAAACUAAUAACUUAACUAAUUAAAGUUGAAUUUAAUCGGGUCAGACCUAAUUGUAUUCAAUUAUUCGUCGGAUCUAAAACUAAUGUAAUCGAUUUUGGUUGGAGAAUUGGGUUAUCUUUAUCCAAUGACAAAUCCAAAAAAUUUUAGAAGUGGCAACAAAAUAAAUAAUAAUAUAGCAAAAGAAUAAAAAUUAUUACUAUCAAUAUAUUUAGAUAUUUAAAUCUUAGAAUAUAUUAAUUAGUCAAGUUUCUAAUAAAUAAAUGUAAUUAAUAUAUCUAAAAGUAUAUUAAUUUAAAAAUAUUUUUUGUUUUAAUAUUUUGGUAAUAUUACAUGAGUAAUACAUAUAUUAUUAAUACAGCACUUAGUCAAAUAUCUAAUAUCCAUCAAAUUAUAUUUUUUAUUAUUUUUUAUGUGAAAUAAAAAGGAAUUAUAAUUCAAUAGCUAAAAAAUUUACAAAGAGUAUAACUCGAAUGAACACAUUAGAGUUUUCACUAUUUUUUUUUAUCUAAAUUUUUACUAAAGUUACGUGAGAGAGACAAAAAACUUAUGAGAAAAAUAAAAGUUUAAAUCAAAUAACCACAAUUCUUUUUAUACGUAGGUAUAGAUAAAAUAAUAUUUUUAUUAUUAAACAAAUAUUCAAAUAAUUUUUUAUAUUUAUUUACAAAAUUAACAUUUUAUAAUAUUAUGGUAAAAAAAAUUUUCUUAGAGUUAAGAAGUUAAUUGUUAUGUUUAAUUUUAAGAAUUUAUGGUUAUAUGUUUAAAUAAUGGUUAGCAACAUGUGUGUUUAAAAAUAAGUAAUUGCUGUUUAGACGUUUUUUCAAUAUAAUAGAUUAGUAUUAAGAAUGGCUUGUUUAUAAUUUUUUAUAAUAGUUUUAGAUUUAAUAAUUAAUUAGUUAACUGUUAUAAUUAAUUAUAAAAAUUAUAAUUUUAAGAUACUUUCGGUGUAUAUUUUUCUGGAACAAUGUUGAUAAUUUCAAAUAAUAAAUUAGGAUCUGUAAAGUAUAAUUUAUUUGCGGUUUUGGUAGUAAUAAGUUGUUUUCUGUUAGCCUUUUAAUGUAUAGAAGUAUGUUAUUUUAGUUGAGGUUUUAUUAUUAUUACAUUAGAACAUUAUUAAUUACAUAGAAAGUGAAACUAUGUAUUAGUUAUUAUCUGCAGCAACUUAGAUAUAGGCUCUAUAUACAUUAAUUAAAAUUAGAGAUAAAAAUGUUAUUACUUAGUAAAUCGGAUUCAAUAUAAUUAUAUUUUUUAAUUAGCUUUUUAAAAUUAUGUAUGAUAGUUGUGUAAUUUGAAUCGUGCUUUUGCUAUGCUUUUGUAGGCUUUACGGAUGAUGACAUGUGAUCACCCUAUCCCUCCGGAUCGGUAAGAUGAGAGAGUGGAAGAGCAUUUACGAUCAACUGGGUUUUACCAUGUUAGUCAGAUUGGAGUAGUUCAAUGUCAGAAAGCACUAGUAAAUGCUUUAGUGGAAAGGUGGCACUCGGACACACAUACCUUCCACCUUCCAGUUGGUGAAUGUGUCGUGUCACUGGAAGACGUGGCUAUGAUCUUUGGUCUUCCGACCAAAGGCCUUCCAGUGACUGGCAUGACUUUGAGUUGUUUUGAGGCCUUAGAGGCGGAGUGUCUGCAUCAAUUUGAGGUGGUGCCGAGAAAGUCAGAUUGUCGAGGAAGUGGCAUAAAACUGACGUGGCUACGGGAUUUAAAAGAACGGUCACAAUUGACUGAUGAGAACAGUAUACAGGUGUACAUUAAGUGCCACAUCAUGUUGUUGAUCGGUAUGAUCUUGUUUGGAGACAAGUCUAGGGCAUCUGUCCACUGGAAGUUUCUGCAUCUGCUGAGUGAUUUUGCUAGUAUUGGAUAGUAUAGCUGGGAUCAGCCUGCCUAGCACACCUGUACAGGAGUUUAUGCAGGGCCUCACGUUUUGAUUGUAAGGAAAUCGAUGGUCCGCUGACACUUCUACUGUGUUGGGCAUGGAUGCACCUACCAUAUCUAGCACCGGUUCCUAGAGAACCUCGCAGUUUUCCGCUUGCAAAUAGGUUAGACUAUCUUACAUUUACCUGGUAUCUUCAUGUUUAGAAACCAAUUGUGUUAAUGAGAUGCGUUAUAUUAGCUGACGAAACUGGGAGCGUGGAGACCGAGUCUAUAGAUAUCUUAAGCUUGCUCAUUUUAGGAAGACCUUGGAUGAACUUCAGGAAGGUCAGGUGUGUUUGAAUUGACAUUGUAUGUGGGUCAGGUCUAGUGAUUUACUUAUUUGGAUUUUAAUUAUUUGCUUGCUUUACUGUUACCAGUUUUUGUGGGUUGCAUAUUCUGGUGAUCGUGUUGAUCCGGACAUAAUUCCUGCUAAGAUCUACAUGCACUCAUUGAUUUGGAGUGCAACGGUGCCACUGGUAUCUUUUGAGUGUAUUGAAUGGCAUGCUACCGACAGGUUUAGACGUCAAUUUGGUUUCGUUCAGGGAGUUCCUCAUCAGGAACGGAAUCUAGACCGCGCACACGGAGAAGUGUUAAUUGGUCCUAAGAAUCUGAACUGGGCCACAGCCACGACUCAUUCAUUUUGGGUGAUGCAGUUGACAAACUGGUAUAAUCACGUUCUUACUGAGGAACCCAUGACUCCGCAUCAGCCAUUAGAUACUUAUAUGUACUGGUACCGUUCAAAGUAUGGUGAUAACUUGAACUUGUCGGAUCUUGCGGUCCAAGAGGAUGUUGAAGGUGACCAGGUUAUGGAUGAUGAUAAUGAAGAGCAGGAGCCACAGUCACCACCGCCUCCAACUCCACCUCCACCUCCCCCUCCAGUGGCAGAAGAACAACCUCAUUCCACAAGCCAGUAUGUACUUCAGACACAAUUUCCUACGUCGUUCCCGAUACAUCAGCCACAUUUUGACUCAGGAGAGGGAGGUUCUUUUAGCCAGUUGCUUGGGUUCAUGGCCUCAGAUGCCGGCCAAGCACAAUAUAGCCACCAGGCCGACUUCAUGGCGGGUAGGUAUUCGUUUAACUAAAUGAAUACUGGACCCUAAAUACUAAUUAACUCAAAGUCUUUUUUAUUUUGAACUUGUCUAAAUAACCUCUUUUACAAAUACUAAACGAGUACCUGCACUCAUAUAGUUCGGAAACUCCGGAGCAUGCAUGGCUUCCAAAUCCAAAACUCGCAUGAAAGAUGGCUCCUCAAAUGGCUCUUCGUUCGCGAGUGCAUUUACAAUGUCUGUCACAUUCGGAGCCACACUGCCGUCGGUUGGAUCUACAUCUCCGUCUUCACCAACAACUUCGUAAUUGCUUUCGAACUCUUCCUCACUGUCACUAUUGUAGUCUUCUCGUAAAAUAUUUCGGUCGGCCUCAGAUUGUUCGAAUUCAAUGUACAACUCGAUGAACAAGAUUCGGGCACGACUUUCAAAAUACAUUGAAAACAUCUCUUGCAAACUCGCUUCGUCCGUUACAUAUUUGGUUUCAAAUUGGACGAAUCCACCAAACACCGGUAUCGGAUAUCUGUAUAAAAUGCAAGAUAUUUUUCUCGACAUCUCAGAAUCAAUCUUCUCACAGAUCACACCUUUGAACUCUUCAAAUGAGAUUGUGAAGGGAAUAACAACAUGACAUCUACAUGCACUCGAUGAUUUGGAGUGCAACGGUUCCACUGGUAUCUUUUGAGUGUAUUGAAUGGCAUGCUACCGACAGGUUUAGACGUCAAUUUGGUUUCGUUCAGGGAGUUCCUCAUCAGGAACGGAAUCUAGACCGCGCACACGGAGAAGUGUUAAUUGGUCCUAAGAAUCUGAACUGGGCCACAGCCACGACUCAUUCAUUUUGGGUGAUGCAGUUGACAAACUGGUAUAAUCACGUUCUUACUGAGGAACCCAUGACUCCGCAUCAGCCAUUAGAUACUUAUAUGUACUGGUACCGUUCAAAGUAUGGUGAUAACUUGAACUUGUCGGAUCUUGCGGUCCAAGAGGAUGUUGAAGGUGACCAGGUUAUGGAUGAUGAUAAUGAAGAGCAGGAGCCACAGUCACCACCGCCUCCAACUCCACCUCCACCUCCCCCUCCAGUGGCAGAAGAACAACCUCAUUCCACAAGCCAGUAUGUACUUCAGACACAAUUUCCUACGUCGUUCCCGAUACAUCAGCCACAUUUUGACUCAGGAGAGGGAGGUUCUUUUAGCCAGUUGCUUGGGUUCAUGGCCUCAGAUGCCGGCCAAGCACAAUAUAGCCACCAGGCCGACUUCAUGGCGGGUAGGUAUUCGUUUAACUAAAUGAAUACUGGACCCUAAAUACUAAUUAACUCAAAGUCUUUUUUAUUUUGAACUUGUCUAAAUAACCUCUUUUACAAAUACUAAACGAGUACCUGCACUCAUAUAGUUCGGAAACUCCGGAGCAUGCAUGGCUUCCAAAUCCAAAACUCGCAUGAAAGAUGGCUCCUCAAAUGGCUCUUCGUUCGCGAGUGCAUUUACAAUGUCUGUCACAUUCGGAGCCACACUGCCGUCGGUUGGAUCUACAUCUCCGUCUUCACCAACAACUUCGUAAUUGCUUUCGAACUCUUCCUCACUGUCACUAUUGUAGUCUUCUCGUAAAAUAUUUCGGUCGGCCUCAGAUUGUUCGAAUUCAAUGUACAACUCGAUGAAUGAAAUUUGAGCACGACUUUCAAUAUAUAUUGAAAACAUCUCUUGCAUGCUUGCUUCGUCCGUUACAUAUUUGGUCUGAAAUUGGACGAAUCCACCAAAUACUGGUACAGGAUAUCUGUAUAAAAUACAUGAUAUUUUUCUUGACAUCUCCGAAUCUAUCUUCUCACAAAUCACGCAUUUAAGCUCUUCAAAUGAAAUUGUGAAGAGAAUAACAACAUCUAAUGGAUCUUCACAAAAAAAUUUUACUCCUUCAGGUGUCUGCAACAAAAUCUGACCAAAAUAAUACACUUUCAAAAGAACUCUAUUAUCCAUUCUUCCCACUCACUUAAACAAAAAUAGCAACUUCACCAUCAAUUUUUUUUCCCCAACCCAAGUAACCCCACACUAGACCCAUAGAAAGAAGAAGAGAACUCGAACAAAAAGAAAGUUGGAUCUGUUCGGCUGUCUUUGGUUCGCACACCUUAGCAACUAUAUAUAUACACACACAAUUCGAACCAACCGAGUUGUGUAUAACCUAAUUCGAAAAAAUUAUAAAUAAUGAAAACUCACGGUCCGAUUUCCUUUACUGUAAAUUAAAAAAAAAAUUGCAAGCAAAAAUCAGACCCAGCGAGUAGUAUAACGAAAUAAAAAACAAAUCCAACAAAGAAAACGGACCAUCCGUUUUGAUGAGGUCAUAUUGCACGGUCCGAUUUCUCCUAUGUGUUACGAUCAAAACGGACCUUCCAAUUUGCUUACAAAAUUUCCAAAACAGAGAACUCGGAGGGUCCGAUUUCUUCCUACCAAAUCUGAGCCAAAACCUAUUCCACAUUCCGGUGUAGCACCCCCUCAUUCCAUAUCCCAGCACAACACCUGACCCUCCUCCAUAACAAAAAAAAAUGACCCUUAUUACAAUAGGAACAAUUAUCUACAUAUACAUAUAUACUUGUGAUUGGUUUUUGAAAAACUCAAUUACCCCCACAUAAGUAUAUAUAAAUCCGUCCGUCUGUAUCUGUAAAUACCCCUAGACUUUUUUUUUGUUUUUUUUUACCAAAGAUAUGAGACUCAAACUCCCCUAGACUUUUUUUUUGUUUUUUUUUACCAAAGAUAUGAGACUCAAACUCGCAACCUCUUAAUUGAGUAUGGAAAAACUAUGCUAUAGAUGAUGUUUAUUUAACAUUCAUAUUCACCGGUAAUAUGAAAAAGAUAGCACACAUUACCAAAGAUAUAGAUACAAUAGCACAGGCCCACGGAUUGUUGAUGAGAAACAAAUAAGAUGUUGUCAUAUAUAUAAUUUAAUUUUUAAAAUUUUACACCUAGAUGAUGUUAUAGUAAGCGAAUUUUAUAGUGACAAUAAGUCAAUAACCAAAAUUUCAAAAAUUGAUGGGGAUAUUUUGAAAUUAAUUACAAACAACCAAAUUUUGGACGGUGAGAUUAGUUCAUGUCUCUGUAAAUAUUUCUAUAUAACAAAACCUGUACAUUAAUUAAGAAAAAGUGAUAUAGGGACACUUCAAAAGACUUACCUUUUCCUUUUUCUAAAAACAAAUAAUCAGCACAUUUAAAAAAAAAGGAAUGAAAACAACAAUACUAUAAGUCAGCAAAAAGAGCAUUCGUUAAUUUCUGAUUAAUCAAAGAAUACAAAAAUACAACAAAAAAAGGUUAUGGAAACCCAAAAAAGAGUUGCCUGUACACUUUCCAAACCAUCGUACAUAUAAUGCAUUGUUCCCAAUCUAAUCCCACUGAGUUCAGUGCCAUUUCCCAUGCAAUGAUCUGUUAAAAAAUCAAUAUUCUCAAUUAAAAAAUUUUGGUCAAAUAUAAAAUUUUAUUAGUGAUUGAUGAGAUAAGUUUUAAAUAUAAAUCCCACAAAAAUGCACACUAUCUAAUUCAUCAAAUUAUACUUAAGGUAACAAAAAAAAACUGAAUUAAGAGCAUUUACCCAAUUAGACAGUGAUUGAUUUAAUGUGGUCGGUCAUUUACACUUCUGGAGGCACUUUGGAGGGAGGCAAGUUUGGUUUGUAAUCCCAAAGACUCCUCAUUUCUCCUCUUAUACAUCCCAAUAUGACAGCCGUACCUGUUCAAUUUAUUUAUUUGAUGUUGAAUAAAGAGCAUGAGUUAAAUUUAAAGAUUAAUGAAGUGAACCACGCACCAAUCUAAUCUAAUCUAAGUAGUAAUCACUACUACUACUACUACUAAUUUACUUACCCAAGGUACAUGGAACAAGGUAGAGAAGUGCUGGUUGUCCAUGACCCUUCAUCAAGUAUAGCCCAAGAUAUGUUAGAAAAAGGCCUGAAAAAGGGAUCAUCAGAUUGUAAGAGAAUAAAUUAAUAAAACUAUCCAUUUUACAGUCUACAAACACUAUUGAAAUUAUCAUCUUUUAUCAAUAAAUAAACAGUGCAGCUUAUGAUAUGAUAUGAUACUGAAAACUAUGAUACCAACUAAAAAUAGUAUUAAAAAGUACUUACCGACGCCAUAGCCAAUUACCAACCAAAGAAAAUAUCCAUUCACUGACCUCUUGUUGUUCUCUUUGUCAAAUCUGAUACAAUCAGAAGCCAUAAUAAACACAUUAAAUCUAAUCCAAUAUGCAUCUAAUUCUAUGCUAUUAAGAGAUAAAUGCAUGUUUUCAAUUUUGUAAACCACCGCUUCGUUUCAAGUUGUCAACAAAAUAAGGAACUCAGUACCUACGAGCAAAGCAAACAAGCAAGCCAGGGAAGAGAAUGUCUCCAAAUCCAAUCAUGUCAUAACCUUUCCAAGGAUCGUGUGGACGAGGAAACCUCAAAAGCAUAGGAAUUGCUUCCCCACCAGCCUUGUCACCUCGAGCAACCUAGAUCACAUUAUCAAGUGCAUUUAUAGAAAUAUAGAAGCUCGUCUCAGCAACUGGAAUGAGUAUGCAUAUAAUGAGUUUUGUUAACGAGUAUUUUUAAGGACACUAAUUAAAGAUACAAGAAGUUAAAAAGAAAACAAAAGUAAAAUGUUUUCAAAUAAAAGGUGAGAAAUAACUCUUGGUCUUGUAACUUUACCUGGUCAGCGAUUUAAAUGUCAAAACAGUUUUUUUAAAGAAUUACGCUUCAUGAUUUAGCAUUAACUAUAUAUGUAAAUUGUAAAAUUCAACAUAAUAAUGCUCGGUGGUGCAAGUUUCACCUUGCCCGAAUUGCUCCAACAUGAAAACAAGGAAGCGGUUUUUGCUGUUCCUUUCAUGUCACCCUUGAUUUUUGCAGAUCUCAAAAUUCUGCUUGGUUAGAGUAAAUUCUGUACUCUAUUCAUGCUUUUUUUGUGUGCCUUGUUUAGCAUUACUCAACAUCCAAUUAACAAGUUUUUUUUUUUUUUUCACUAUCACAAUUAAGUACAUCUCUAACUUGUUGCAAAAGAAAGGAACAAAAUGAGUUAAGGAAUAUGAUUUGAGAUGCAAAUGCAAUGAAACAAUCCCAUAGAGGGUUAAAAAGGAAACUUUACUGAUAAAACGAUGACUUACUGUAAUCAUAACACUCUUAUGGAAUAUCACUGGAGAUAUGAACACCCAAAAGAUGUCGUAUACAAAUGCACAACAAAGAAGUACAGUUGCAACCUAUCAUUUCAGAUGCAUAAUGCAAAUCAUGAGAACGGAUAUAAAAAGGACUGUGAAUAAAAGGAGUAAGGAAACACAAGCAAUCAAUAUAGCUACCUUAAUAUUAGGUAAUCGUGCCAACUGCAAGAUUGUUAUCAUCAAACAAAUGCCCUGUCAAGAAUAAAGCCAAACUUUUUAAGUAAAUACCACAAAGUGAAAAGUCAAUUGAACUACUUUGUACCAUUGAUUGGAAACAACCAUUCCAUUUUUCAUUACAAUGCUACAAAAUGCUUGCUAUGGGAACCAAACAAGAUUCUCAGUUUGUCUGACACAAGCACAGACACAUGAUUUUGUUACAUACUCAUGUAUGCAUUCAUGUGUGUGUGUGCGCGCGCGCACGUAUAAACAUGCGAUUGCAAUUAAAAUGCAUGUGAAAGUUCCACAUGGAAUAUGAAAAUGAGUACAAUAACACUAGGAGCAGAGCGAGAACUAUAAUAAACCAUUGUAAUUACUGGAGUUUGCGAUCCAAUCCAAAUUGUAGUUUAGAUUGAAUUAGAUUAGCAGUUUUGAUUAGAUUUGAAGAUAACUAAUUGCUUCUUUCAGCCUUAUUCCUAAAACUAAUUUUCUGCAUUACUUACAAAUUUUCAAGAAAGAAGACUGAAAUUCAACUGGUUAGCAUCAUGAACAAUAAUUUUAAAUGCUUGCUUGUUAAGCAGGUGCUAUAGCCUAGAACUUACAAGGACAUCUUGGCCGAACCAUGAAUAUGACUCCCGCCGAUUAACAAUCCAUAAUACCGCAAAUGCCACACAUACUAUAAAAACUACUAUUGAGAAGAUAGAACUCUUCCCAAACAUAGGUACCUUCACUAUAUUCCGUCCAAGUUUUGGAAAUACUCUGCUCAUACAAUUGAAAAAUAGAUAUGAGAAAUCAGCAUAACACAAAACAUGUAGAAAGAAUGCCUUUUUUUUCUUAUUGCUAGAUGGAACAGUAGUUUUUUUUCCUUUGGUUGUGAGGAAGAAAUUUAUUCAAGCCAGUAUACCUUAAAACGAGGCUCACAAUACAAUUGUGCAUCCCCUGAAAAUUAUUGCAAACGUCAAUUACUGAAAAGAGGAAUUUUGGCAGUUUAGAUCAUCUAAAACCCAAAAAUUUAACUAGUUAUAUUCAUUAUUAUGGUUUACAAUAGAUCAUGCUAGUUAAAUGAAGUACAGAACUAAGUACUCUCUGAUGUAUUUUAUUAACUGCAAUGUUAAAUUAACUUUUAUUGGAGAGAAGGGAAUAUAUAACUAAAGGCAGAUAAGAUAAUUUACAGAGAAGAGAAAAUUAUAAUAUUUAGGAAUAUGGCAAAGCUUCUCAAACAUGUUUGCUCUAACUUUCCACCCUCCUUUUUUACAUUUCUAAACUUGUUUCUCCAACCCAGAAAGUCCAAUAUAGCACUGUCUUAAUGGUGAACAAAAAUAGGGAAACAAUAUGCUUUGAUACACACCAAGAAAUAUGAUCUUUAUUUUUCCUUAAAAAAUGGCAAAGGUAGUAGAAAAUUCUACAGAAAUGAGCUACAUUACCUCAACACCACCAAUGCAGAAAAGUACAAUCAGCACCCAGAUAAACCAAGAUGACAUGAAGAAAAAUAGUAGCACAAGAAAAGUGGAUGCCGAAAUGACAAAGAUAAUAGCACCCUUUGUGUCUAUGUUAACAAUGUCCUCCUCAUCUUUCAUUGUUUCGGAUUUGAAAGAUCCCUAGACAAAUGUUAAGUUAUAUCACAUACGCAAAGUUGACAAGCUAAAAGAUGUAUUAAACAUGAACCAAAACUAAAUUCUAUAAUUAGUAAGGACCAUAAGAAGAUGAAGAACGAUAUUUAUACUCAAUCUUAGAAUUCAUUUCUCUCCCCCUCUUUAUCUAUCUAAACAAUAGAUUAUAUUCUAUCUACAAAUAAUGCUAUACUCCCAAGUUAAACUCCAAUAGUUAACUAAUUGAAAUGAUUAGCAGUUGGUUAAUUAAUAAAUUGUGGUUGAAUUUAAAAGAGAGUCUAAUUUUUAUGUACUAAAUAUUAAAAGUGUAAAACAUUUUACAAAGUCAUCCUAUCAAUUUUGUUCUUUUAGAUGAUAAUUCAUGCGUGGGUGUGAAAAUUUGUUAUUUUUACUUAAAUGACAAUAUGUAAUUACAGGCAUGUUUAAGACAUCCUCAGAAUGACAAAUUUGAGUUUAUGAUAUCAACAUAUUCUGAUAUCUUUCUUGAAGCAUUAGGUCAUUUUUAGUCAAUGGAAGUGUGCUUUUGCAUAAAGACAAUAAAUUACUUUAAUGUGGAUUAAAAACAGAAGUACAACAAAUUGAACUACGUAUGAUACUUUGAGGUAGAGAUAGCAUUGUAUGGGGAAACCUUGGGAGACAAUUCAUUGUAGCGUUCAUCACAAUCAGCAGCUGUUAUAUCUGCCCAUGUUGAAGCGCAUAUAACUGUUCCGACAGCCAUCAACCACAAAACUGCAACUGAAUAGUCUAAAAGUGGGCGAGUUGGAGCAUAUAUCGAAAGUUCCACUGCAAUGAACAAUUCAUAAUCAAUUUACCAUCUGUAAAUCACGUGAAAAUAUCUUUAGUCUGAUCAACAACGAUACUUGAACCCAAACUUAUGGAUUCAAGAUAUAAGCACCACAUCUUUUAGCCAUUGAUCUCAUAUAGGGAUUGACUUAUGGACCUCACAAUGUAAGAUCAUCUGGUACUAAGGUUUAGACAUCAGCAUCUCAGCUGUCAACAACCAUAAAAAAUUGAAGGUUGAAAUGCUGGUGCCUAAACUUUGAAACCGAAAAACGGGUUCAGCUAUCAUUAUGGAUUUAUUGAAUGGUGAUACUAAUAUUGGCAACAAAACAUAGAAAAAGGAGAUUAAAUGAUGUAAAAAGGUCUUCUUAUUUUGUGGAAAGUUAUGAAACUUCAUCCCUAAGUUUAACUUGUGUUUGUGUUUCCCAAUGACAAGCAUUAGAACUAAACUUUAAUAUCUAAAUAAAUCAUCAUCAUCAUAGGAUAUAAAGAGCUUCUAAGAAUAAACCAUCCUCGCACAAAUUUUACCACAGCUAAAAGAAAUUACACAAUUUUCUUGCAUCCUAGAUCCGUACAACAAGAUUUUCACAAGUUAUCUUUCUCAAACAUGAUAAAACUAGACAUAAAAGUUCUACGAGUUGUAGCGCUGACCUUUCUUUCCAGAUGUCAACUCAUUGUCGAGAUCAUCUCCUGCUGUCUUUGAUAUCAUUGCAACUGGGAUUGAAAUGUCUACUCUAGAGCUAUUGGAACACUCCAUUGAGAAAAGGUCUGCCAGAAAAUAAAGAGAUGGAUUUUCGUCGAAAUAUGACCAUGAACAUAAAACUUUAUUGACUAUGACGGAUUAAAAUUCAUGGGAAUACAGAACAAGUCAACAAUUGCUGUAAAGUUCCAAUCAAUAAAUUACAAAUGUUUCCUCUAUAUCCAAAAGUGACAUUAAACUCUAACAAGGCCCAUGGAAUAGAUGAGUAAAGGUCAAGAUCCAUCAGUUAAAUGAGAAAACAUGAUAAUAAAAAUUUGAAAAGAAAAUAAGUUGAGGUUUUUCUAACUUGAAUUGCAUGGGAUCACUCACAUGCAUCAAACGUUCCAUCUUCAAAUAAAAUAAUUCAUAAGAAAACAACAAUGCUACUUAGCGUAACUUUAUAUAAACCAAAACAUUUUAUUUUAUCUUAUCUUAUUUUUAAUUUGGGUUCCAUAUGACCUUUAUACAUGUAAAUAAGCAUGAAAUAAGUAGAACAAAUGAUGACGCAAGCUAGUUUUUAUAUAUAAUUUCAUUGUGCGACUCUGAUAUGUUCAUCGGUUAAUAUUGUUUGUUUGUAAUGGGAUUAGGUUUCUGUGUAUGUAGAGCUGAUGUAUUUAGAGUUUGUUUCAGUUAUUUAAUAUGUUGAACAAAUUAAUCUGUCUAAAGGAUUCUGUAUGGGGGUGUGCAAAGCAGUCUAGUUUACUACUCAUAUAACAACCUAAUAAUAACAUGCCAUAUUCAUCAUGUUCAUAUACACAAUAUGUAACUAGCAGACACCAUACAAAUUUGAAGAAAUAUACCGUCCGACUCAUUUAUGACCAAUACGGCAACUGCACCUGCUGCCUGUGCAAUUGCAGCUUUAGUUGUGAAGUCGCAAGUACCACGCUGACAUAAAGUUACUGAUCCAACAAGUAACUGCAAAUUAAAAUUAAUAUAAUCAAAGAGGAGUAAAUCACUAAUUUGGCUCUUGAACUCUUAGCUCGCUAACAAAAUAGUCCUUAAAGAUUGAAAAUUAUCCCCUCACAUCUAAAAAAUUGAUUUUGCUUGACUAAUCCACCCAAAGUGAGGACCAAUUUGUUAGCAAAAUAAUCUUUCAAUUGUCGACCCUUUCUGGAGUGUAUCAUAGGAUUGUUAACAAUCUUUAAAGAACAAUUUUCUCAAAGAAUUAAAAGACAAUGUUUAAUUAAUUAUUGGAAGCUAAGCAUGAGGGGAUGAGAAUAUAAUCAUAAAGGAAACAAUGAUCGAAAAACCUUAGUAAUUGGUGGGACACAACAGUCUCUAGGAUUGGCAAAAACAAGAGGAGAUUUGGGACUCUGACCGACUUCCUUGGGAAACUGAGCACCAAACAUUGCACUCAUGCCACCGUACCCGGAAUUCACAACAUUGCCAUCAACCCAUUGCUUCAUCUUCACCUGCAUUAUGUUCAUAUACAUAUAUAUAUUUUACAUACAUGCAUUCAUCAGAGAUCUCAAAUGAAGAAUUUCAUAUGUUCAUAUGAAAAUUAUAGCUAAGAAUCGUCAAUGGUUUUGACAUGUUUGACCACAUUGCUGAUUAAUAAUACAUGUCAAUGUUUUAGCUAUCUUCUUCAAGAUAUUUUCAUGUGAUACCUUCAUCAAAAAUAUAACCUAACGAUUGCCGAAUUCAAUAGGAAAAAUAUUAUGAAUCAGUUACACUAGAUAGCUACCAAACUCACCUAAACCUUUUUGUAUCAAAAAAAUAAAUAAAUAGAGUGACGAAAUGAAGAAAUAUUAGAUCUUGUUACCAAUUGAACAUCUUUAGCGCAGGAUGGAUCAAGUUUUGGAGCAUCGUCGGCGGCGUCUCCGAACACGAACAAAAGAAGCGUGAUAGCCACCGCAGCGACCGCAUUAUAUGAAGAAUGAUAACAAAAAGAAGACGAAGAGGCCAUUGAUUAACUAAGUUGUUAAUAUUAAUUAAUUAAUCAAUAAUAUUGCUUUGCCACCUCCUACUCUGAAUGGAAAAAAAAAAUUUGAAUUAGGGGGGUGGGUGUGAAAGAGAGGCUUCGUUCCUUUGUCUAAGUCGCUCAUUAUCUCUCUCUUUUCCUCUUCUAUCUCUUUCACGCACGCAGUUGAGAAUGGCUUUUCAUUUGUUGGGUGCCUCUCUCUCCCUCUCUUCCUCCUCUCAUCGUUCAUGGCGCGAACAAACAGGGAUUUCGUCGUGUUUAUCUUAUUGGAUUGUCUUUUUCGUUGCUACAUUAUCAACCGUUAUUUCAAAAAUAAAUUGUAAUAAAAUAUUUAUUAAAUUUUUUAAAUAAAUAAUUUAAAUAUUUUAUUUACAGAUAAAAGUAAUUUCAAACAAAUAUAUUUCAAAAUUCAUAUAUCUCGUUUAUUAAUUUACACUAUNNNNNNNNNAAUUUAUCUAAAUCUUGUUGCUUUAACUUCAUUAGAAUAAUUGCAAAUAAAGCUUUUUUUUUUUUUGGGGCUUAGAUUUAGAUCUCAAUAAUUCUCUUGCAAUUUAUUUUUCUUCUUUUAUGGUGGAAUAGCUUUAUUUUAUGAAUAAAACUUUAUAUUUAAACAAAAUAUUAACCAAGUUGUUAUAAUAACUUUUCAAAUCAUGCGUAUCAUUCUUCUUUUUCUUCUCCUUCUCAUUCUCAAUUUCUUUCUCCUUCUCCUCUUUCUCGUCUUUUUCUUCUUCUUUUCCAAUGUUGCAUUUUUUUUUUCUUUUUGAAUAAAUGACCAUUUAUACCCAUGAGAGAUGAAAACGCUGACAUUUGUACCCAUGAAAGCUCGAAACUAAUCUCGUACCCAUGAUAGAUGCUGUCUGUGUGACAAAAGUGCCCUGACUUGGAUCUGAGCUUGGUUCGUGGGUUUCCGAACCUACGUGGCACUCUCACCCCCUCAAAGCCAUAUCUGAGCCAACCAUUCACCAUCAUCAUCUUCAUCUUCUUCACCAUCAUCCCCAUCCCUUACUGUCUCUUCCCAGCCACCAUAACCUCCAUCACCAUCACCACAGCACCGCCACAGCCACCUCCCUUCACCACAACCUCCGGCGACAACCCACACCGCCGCGCCCCUUUCUCUUCUUCCCCUCUUCUCACCUCCGCUGAGCCCAGAAACCACAGCGCUAGCUCCUCCUCUCCACCUUCACCAUCAUCAUCUUCAUCUUCUUCACCAUCAUCCCCAUCCAUCACUGUCUCUUUCCAGCCACUAUAACCUCCAUCACCAUCACUUCAGCACCGCCACAGCCACCUUCCUUCACCACAACCUCCGGCGACAACGACUUUAAAUCGAAUCAGCAGCAGUAGCGGCAUUAGCCGCACCAACAGCUUUCCGCAACAAUAAUGCCAUCGAAGAACUUGCAAAGGUAUUGACAUAACCCUAAUGCAAUAAUGUCUCAAAAUUCUCAAUCAACCAUGAAAAUAGAACGGUAACAAUGAGGGUUUUGGAACAAGGACAACUUACUAAAACUUGAAAAGAACAGAGAAAUGGAGCGGUAGCAGUAUUAGCUUCGUUUAAGCACAAACAACCUCACGGCCACCACCACGGCAGCAGCGAUUUCAGCACACAAGAGAGGAAUCAGAAACAGAGACAAGGCUGAGCAACAAACCGAGACAGCGGUUUCGGCGACAGCGGCGGCGACUCCCGCUAGUGACGGCAACGAGCUCCCGUGAUGAUGACGGCGACUAGGUGUGGCGGUGGUGACAGGAUCGGCUUUCCUUCUCUCUCUCAUCUUCGCGCACUUUCUCUCCCUCUUCGAAGCUCGACAGUGACACAUAGUGAGGCGCGAUGGCAGCCCUAGCUCGAUGGUGGCUGGACAGUGGCGGAGCACGACGGCUCCUCUUCCCCUUGCGGCGUCUCUGGUUCGCGACGCGUGCUCUCUCCCUCGACGUUGGCAACAGCGACAAUGUCUCCCUCUUCUUGCGUGGUGGCUCGGCGUCUUGACGGCGGUGGUGGUGCGCGACGGUGGCUGGUGACGGCGCGAUACCCUCCCUCUCUCGGAUCUCUUCUCGUGCUCUCUCCUCACUCUCUGAAUCUCUCGUUUCUCUGCUCUCUUAUUUCCUCUGUUAGUGUGUAUGUCAUGUAUUUUUGUCGCCGGAAGUUGUGGUGAAGGGAGGUGGCUGUGGCGGUGCUGAGGUGAUGGUGAUGGAGGUUAUGGUGGCUGGGAAGAGACAGUGAUGGAUGGGGAUGAUGGUGAAGAAGAUGAAGAUGAUGAUGGUGAAUGGUUGGCUCAGAUAUGGCUUUGGGGGGUGGGAGUGCCACGUAGGUUCGGAAACCCACGAACCAAACUCAGAUCCAAGGCAGGGCACUUUUGUCACAAGGACAGCAUCUAUCAUGGGUACAAGAUUAGUUUCGAACUUUCAUGGGUACAAAUGUCAGCGUUUUCAUCUCUCAUGGGUACAAAUGGUCAUUUAUUCUUUUAUUUUUUAAAUAAUUUUUUAACUGUUUGUUCAAUCUGAAUCGAAUUCGGUUCAUUUGUGAAUUGAGUUAGGUUCACUUGAUACUACUUUUAAGUAUUCACCAAAUCUGUUAUUUUUUAAGAAAUUCGGUUCAUCUCUUAGUUUAAUUGAGUUCAUUUGCAUGCAAAAAUAAAUUGAAAUGUGUUUUUCUUAUUGAUUGAAUGUUUAUCACAUUUUAUUCAAAUCUGAACUGAAUUUUGUUCAUUUGUGAAUUAAGUUAGGUUCACUUGAUACUACUCUUAAGUAUUCACUAAAUCUGUUAUUUCUUAAGAAAUUCAGUUCAUCUCUUAGUUUAAUUGAGUUCAUUUGCUUGUAGAAAUAAAUUGAAAUGUACUUUUCUUACUGAUUGAAUAUUUAUCACUUUUUGUUCAAAUCUGAACCGAAUUCAGUUCAUUUGUGAAUUGAGUUAGGUUCGCUUGAUGCUACUUUUAAGUAUUCACCAAAUCUGUUAUUCCUUAAAAAAUUCGGUUCAUCUCUUGGUUUAAUUAAGUUCAUUUGUAUGCAGAAAUGAAUUGAAAUGUGUUUUUUUUUUUUACUGAUUGAAUGUUUAAAACUUUUUUAUUCAAAUCUGAACCCAAUUCGACUCAUUUGUGAAUUGAGUUAGGUUCACUUGAUACUACUGUUAGGUAUUCAUCAAAUCUAAACCAAAUACCAAAUUCAGUUCAUUUCUGAAUCCAAAUAAACCUCAAUUAAUAGGAGGAAAAGAAAAAAUGUAGCAACAACAACAAUAAUAAAAGAAUGACGAUUGAGAGAAAACACGCGAAGAAGAAGAAGGAACGCAAAAAAGAAGAAGAAGGAAGAACGCAAAGAAGAAGAAGAAGGAAUGCGAAAACGGAAGGAAGAAUGCGAAGACGAAGACGAAAAUAAAGACAAAGAAGCGUUAUUGAAACGCGUGUAUGUACGCUGAAAGUGAUUUUUGUUGAGUUUGGGUCUGCUUGAUUAGAUUUGUUUGAAUGUGUAAUUGGGUUGUGUUGUUAAUAAAAUUUUUUGCAAAUUUGUCUAGUAUUUAAAUGUAUUCAAAAAAACUCAACUAAAAAAAAUAUUCAAAAAAAAAAAAAGGAUAUUUUAUUNNNNNNNNNNNNNNNNNNNNNNNNNNNNNNNNNNNNNNNNNNNNNNNNNNNNNNNNNNNNNNNNNNNNNNNNNNNNNNNNNNNNNNNNNNNNNNNNNNNNNNNNNNNNNNNNNNNNNNNNNNNNNNNNNNNNNNNNNNNNNNNNNNNNNNNNNNNNNNNNNNNNNNNNNNNNNNNNNNNNNNNNNNNNNNNNNNNNNNNNNNNNNNNNNNNNNNNNNNNNNNNNNNNNNNNNNNNNNNNNNNNNNNNNNNNNNNNNNNNNNNNNNNNNNNNNNNNNNNNNNNNNNNNNNNNNNNNNNNNNNNNNNNNNNNNNNNNNNNNNNNNNNNNNNNNNNNNNNNNNNNNNNNNNNNNNNNNNNNNNNNNNNNNNNNNNNNNNNNNNNNNNNNNNNNNNNNNNNNNNNNNNNNNNNNNNNNNNNNNNNNNNNNNNNNNNNNNNNNNNNNNNNNNNNNNNNNNNNNNNNNNNNNNNNNNNNNNNNNNNNNNNNNNNNNNNNNNNNNNNNNNNNNNNNNNNNNNNNNNNNNNNNNNNNNNNNAUUUAUAGUUUAUCAUAAAAACUAUUUAUCUUAUACUUUUUCUCAAAUGUAAGUGUCAUUUGAUUUUCUAUAUAUGAAAGUUUUUAAUCUGAAAAAAUAAUAAAAUACAGAAUAGUUUACUCAAUAUUUAUUAUUGAAAAAGUUUUAGAAACUAAUAAUUUUAUUAAAAUUUAGUCAGCAUUUAACUAUUAAAAAAAGAGUAUGUAAUUUUAUACCAUUAAAUAUAAUUUUACACCAUAAAAAUAUUAAUGAUAACUAAUUAAUGAUUAUAAAUCACAAAAUGUACUACCUUUAAUACUACGGUUUAUUAUUUGUUUAAAGGGCUCGUUCGAAGUCCUUUCAAAGUAUUAAUUUUGGAAUUAUUCUCUACAUACAAGCAUUUUUCCUAUAUAAGUCUUUACAAAUCAUUUAUAUUUACGCGCUUCGUGCCGUUACUGCACGUUCUUCUUCUUCUUCUUUUUCUUCUUCGUUAUUGUCGUCAUCAACACCACCACCUCCUCCUCCUCCUUUUUUAUUAGAAUUUCUUCUCCUUUUAUUAUUUUGAAUCCAAUCAAGUAGUUAAGGUGUGGUUUAAUUCAAAAGAAAAAAUGUAGUAUUAGAGAAAAUAUUUUUUAGUAUUUGCAGUAAAUUUGGGUGUAACACGGAGAUAUUUUGGUGUAACACGAAGAUAUUUUGGUGUAUUUUAAAAAUUUUGAGUGUAUUUUUAUUCUGAUAAGUUCUGCAUAAUUCAAAACUCUUCAUCUUCCUCCUCCUCAUCUUCUAAUGCUUCUUCUUUUUUUUUUUUAUCAUCAUCACCAUCUUCUUCUUUUUUUUCUUAUUCAUUUUUUUCUUUUUGUUUUAUCUUUUCAAGUUUCUUCUUGUUUUACUCUCUUAACAAGAAUAAAAAUAAAAAAAUUAAACAAAAAAAAAGAAAAACACAUAAUGCUACAAAAUUAUUUAGAAGAGGAUGGACUUACAUUCAUUUAACUAAAAGAAAAAAAGAAAGAAAUAAGGACAAAAAGAAGAAGAAAAAAAUGUAACAUUAAAUAAAAGAAACAUUUUUCUGUAUUUGCAGCAAAUUUGGGUGUAACAUGAAGAUAUUUGGGUAUAUUUUUAUUCUUAUAAGUUAUGCAUAAUUCAAAACUCUUCCUCUUUCUCAUCAUCAUCUUCUACUGCUUCUUUUUUUUUAAUCAUCAUCACCGUCUUCUUCUUCUUUUUUUCUUAUUCAUCUUUUUCUUUUUGUUUUACCUUCUCAAGUUUCUUCUUGUUUUACUCUCUUAACAAUAAUAAAAAUAAAAAAAAUCAAACAAAGAAGAAGAAGAAAUACAUAAUGUUGCAAAAUUACUUGGAAGAGGAUGAACUUACAUUCAUUUAACUAAAAGAAAGAAAGAAAUAAGGAAAAAAAGAAGAAGAAAAAAAUGUAGCAUUAGAAAAAAUAUUUUUCUGUAUUUGCAGUAAAUUUGGGUGUAACACAAAGAUAUUUGAGUGUAUUUUUAUUCUAAUAGUUUCUGCAUAAUUCAAAACUCUUCCUCUUCCUCCUCUUCAUCUUCUACUGCUUCUUCUUCCUCUUCUUAUUUCGUUUUCUUAUAAUUCUUUUUCGGAAAAAAAUCAAACAAAAAAAAAAAUACAUAAUGUUAUAAAAUCAAUACAAAGAUGAGGAGGAAAAACAUGCAGCAACAAUAACAACAAUAAAAAGAAUCAUGAUGAGGAUAAAAAUGCGAAGAAAAAGAAGGAAUGCGAAAAAAAUGAAGAAGAAUGCAAAAAAGAAGGAGAAGAAGGAAGAGGAAGAAUGUGAAAUACAAACGUUGAAGAAAAAUAAUUUUUGAUUUCACGUUAUUUAAAGUUAAAAAAGUGCGCAUUUACACGCUCUUUAAAUUAAGAGUUAUUUUUGUUGGGUUUGUAGUGACUUGCAUAGACUUGUAUAUAUAGCAAGUCUCUUAAUUAUAUUUACUUUCUAGUUUCUUCUAGGUUUAAACAUUACACUUCCCUCCUCCUAAAUUUUAAACAUUUUACUUAAACUCUCUUUCUUAAUUAACUCUUAAAUUUUCAUAAUUAUCCUAAACUUACAUAUCUUCACGGUUACAUUGAGUUAUUAUCAAAUGUCACUAUUCAACAACACAGUAUAUUUAGUUAAUAGAUAUGUCUAUCUAAUACAUAGACUGGUAUACAUUUAUUAUUUAAUUAAAGAGACGCAAUUUUUUUAAAAAAUACGGCGUACACAAUUACACAUAAUAAAUGUUAAGUGAAUUAUAGGGUACAGAGCAAAAGCCAUACAGAUUUAAAGAUUUUCUUACUUAAACCACACUUUCUAAAGUCACACUUUUCAUUUAAAAUCGUAGCUCUUCACAAAGAAAAGCGUCACUUAAUGGAAAAAAGUAAAUUAGAAGAUUUAAGAGAAGAAAUAAUUAAGUUAUCAAAAUUAAUAGAUCAAAAAUUAAUGAUUUUAACUAAUGUUAACUGUAAUGACAUCAAAUUCUUAAAAUCAAUACAAAAUGAUUUUUCUCAAAAUCUUUAUUUUACUAUAAGUUUUAUCGAAGGAUUUCAAAAACCUGAAAAAACUUAUUUUUCACACGGAAUUUCUAAAAAAUGUUACCAUGAAAAUGAUUCCCCACAUCUUUAUCAUACUUUUAACCCACAAUUAAAUUCUAUAGUAGAUAUGCUUGAAGAAAUAUUAGUAUCCAUAAAAUUUCAAAAAAAUAAGGAAAAAGAGAAUCCCAAAGAAGAAAAUUUUCAAAAUAUAAUCAACAUAACAGAUUUAAAAGAAAACCACCACUAAAAUUAUGAAUAUUGAAGAAAAAUUAGAAGAAGUUACAAUGCUUUUUAAACAAUUAAAAAUGGCUCAAGAAAAUAAUAUUAUGGAACAGGGAUUUCAAAUAGAAGAAGAAUUAAUAAAUUCUGAAAAUAUAGAAAAUGAAGAACACAUCCUAGAUUAUUCAAGUGACGAAAAACCAGCAAUUCCAAUACAAGUAAAAAAUGAAGCUGGAACAUCUAAGGAUAAUCAAUCUCAAUUUAAAUGGGAAACAGGUUUUGAUAAUUAUGCUUUUAAAAAAGGGUUUAUAAAUAAAGAUUCAAAAUAUACAAAAAUACCAUCAAAAUAUGUUCCUAAAAUCCAGAAAAUGGAAGGAGAAAGAAUGCUCGAUUUAGACUGUAAAAAGAAUGAAAAAGAAAUUUUCGAAAACUGGUUGAAUUCUUUCUUAUUAGAAGCCUUCACUAAUCCAAAACUUAGUGAAUUGUCCGGAAGAGACAUUUGGAAUUACAUAGGGUUUCAUACUAAAGGAACUAUAAGAGAUUAUAUGACAUCAAUAGAAAACCAAAUAAUAGAAGAAUUAGCAACAAAAACAACAGCUUAUGAUAAGAUAUUAUAUAUAAUGAUGAUUCUAUAUAAAGAAUUUUUUGGAAAAAAUAUUAUAGAUCAUAGACAAGAAAUCUAUAAUAAAGAAUAUCAAGAAGCAAAAAACUAUUUAGCUAAUAUUCAGAUAUAUGAUUUAUGUAAUGUGGAAUCUUAUAUAUGUGAAUAUAGAAUACAUUAUUACAAAUUAAAAGAAGAAGAUAAAAAUUAUUAUUUUAGUAUGUAUAUAACAAAACUUCCAUAUCCUGCUAAUGAAUUUAUAAUGGGAAGAUUUAUAAGAGAAAUAAAUAGAGGGACAAUUGAAAAUAAUUUUGGUGGAGCAACCUCUGCAAUAAGAGAGGAAAUAAAAGAACGUUGUAUGCAAGAAGCAACUUAAAAAAGAUUUGCAAAUAUAAUUAGAAUUUGCUGUCAGGAUAAUGAAGAGAUACCUCAAAAAUAUGGUCUUAAUAAAAAUUUUCAAAGAAAAAGAAAAUAUCAAUUUAGAAAAAGAAAAUACUAUCUAAACUGGAGAAAAAAGAGGUAUUUUAGAAAAAGAAAUAACAAUAAAAACAAAAGACAAAAAAGUGACUAUUGCCCGAAUAAAAAAGAAAAUUGUAAGUGUUGGUAUUACCAAGAAGAAGGACACUAUGCAAAUGAAUGUCCGAAAAAGAAGGAUAAAAAAGAUCUUACUAAACAAAUAGAAAUUGCUAAGUCUUGUUUCAUGGAACCUUUAGAGAAAUCUGAUGAUAACUUAGACUACAUUUUUGAAUAUGUCUCAGAAACAGACUCAGAGACUAAGUAAUAAUGCCACAUUUAUUACUAUAAAAAUAACAGAAAAGUUUAUAAACGCUUUUAUAGAUUCUGGAGCAACACAAUGCUUUGCUAGUUCAAAUAUAAAACUUGAUUGGAAAAAAUUAAAGAAACCAUUAAGAGUUAGAAUAGCUGACAAGUCAAUACAUAAAAUUGACCAAAAAGCAGAGAUGGCUGAAAUUUUCAUUCAAAAUUAUAGGUUCAUUGUUCCAUCUAUAUAUAUGUUAGAUUCCGGAAUGGAUUUUAUCAUAGGAAAUAACUUUUUAAAACUAUAUCAUCCAUUCAUUCAAGAAUUAACAUAUAUAGUUUUAAAAGCUCCACACGAUUCUUCAAUAAAUCAAAAAUCAAAACGUAUAAAAAUACCAACUACUACUAUAGAUAAGAUCUUAAAAUUUAAAAUAUUUUCUAUAUUAGAGACAUGUUAUUUAAAUUUAUACUUUCAGAUAAAUAUUCCAAAAAAUAAUCUUGAAAUAAAGAUAGAAGAACUUUUGGAUGAAAUUUGUGUUGAAAAUUCUUUAGAUAUUAAAAAUACAAAUAACGAAUUAGUAAGCAUUAAAUUAAAAGAUCCUACAAAAGAGAUAAAUGUUCCAAAUAAAAUUCCUUAUUCCGCAAGAGAUAGAGAAGAGUUCUCAUUAGAAUGUAGAGAUCUUUUGGAAAAAAGAAUUAUAAGAUUAAGUAAAAGUCUUCAUGCGGCUCCAGCCUUUUAUGUCGAAAACAAUAAUGAAAUUAAAAGGGGAAAACGAAGAAUGGUUAUUAACUAUAAGAAGAUGAAUGAAGCAACUAUUGGUGAUGCUCAUAAACUUCCAAGAAAAGAUUCUAUUUUAGAAAAAAUCAAAGGAGCAACUUAGUUUUCAUCUCUUGAUGCAAAAUCAGGAUAUUGGCAACUUCGUUUAGACGAAGAAACAAAGAAAUUAAAUGCUUUUACUUGCCCAACAAAAGAAUCAACAAGUGUGUUGCUCUAUGAAUGGAAUGUAUUACCAUUCAGAUUAAAACAAACCCCAGGUAUUUAUCAAAGAUUUAUGGAAGAAAAUCUAAAAGAGUUAAAUGAAUUUGUUUUAGUAUACAUUGAUGAUAUACUAAUUUUUACAAAACAGGAUAAAGAAGAUCAUCUUCAAAAAUUAUUAAUAGUUUUAGAAAGAUGUAAAGAAAAAGGAUUAGUUCUUAGUAAAAAGAAAGCAAGAAUAGCAAAACAAGAAAUAGAGUUUCUUGGAUUAAUUCUAUCCACUCAAGGAAAGCUAAAACUUCAACCAAAUGUUCUAGAAAAGGUAAAUUUAUUUCCUAAUAAAAUAGAAGACAGAAAACAAUUACAAAGAUUUUUAGGGUGUAUAAAUUAUAUUUCUGAUCAAGGAUUUUUAAAAAAUAUAACAGAAUACACUAAAAGUUUAUUUCCAAAAAUAAGUACUAAAAAAGAAUGGAAAUGGGAUGAAAAAGAUAGUAUACAAAUUCAAAGAAUUAAAGAAUUAUGUGAAAAACUUUCAGAACUUUAUAUUCCAGAAGAAAAUGACUACUUAAUAGUAGAAACAGAUGCUUCAGACAUAACCUGGUCAGGAUGUCUAAAAGCUAAGAAAGCUAUAAAAAGUUUAGAAUGCAAGCAUUGUCAGCAAAUAAGGACACAGAUCCAAUCUCUCAAGAAGGCCAUUGAAGCAAUGAAAUCAACACAACAAGCAAAACCAUCAGAGUUCAGCCAGCUAAGCAUGGUGGACAAAUCAGGUGAAGAAAAAAUUUCAAAAAAUAAAAUAAUUGCUGAAAUCAUUAAAAAAUCCACCCAAGAUAAAAAAUAUUAUGUAAUUUAUAAUGGCCCCAUGAAGGGAGUAUAUGAUACCUCGGAAAAAGCAGCACCAUUCAUACAUCAAUCAAGGAUAAUUCAUAAAGGAGGGUUUCUAACACUGGAAGAGGCAAAGGAAUCCUUCAGGGAAUAUGAAGCUCUUCAUCCAGAGCAAACCCUAAAAAGAGCAGAUAAAGCUCCAAUUCAAACCCAGAGAACAGGGAUAAUAAGAAACAUUCCUACAAGGGCUGAAAUUAAGGAAAAGAAAAGGGUUUGUAGAUCUAAUCUCAGAGAAACCCUUAACAUAGUCCUGAAUUGGACUGAAGAAAAAAGGGCAAUUUUGGGAUAUUAUCCUAUUGCCAAAGAACAGAUAACAAAGCUGGUUAUAUUUCCAGAUGCUUCCCCAUCUGACACCUAUCAGUUUUUUCAGUAUGGAUUAAUUGAUACAAUUUUAAUUUUUAAUGAUCUAAAAAUUAUUAGUGAGUUUCCUGCAGGAUUCGUUGAUGCAGUAAAGAGAUUUAAAAAUAUGAUUGACAAUGUAAAUCCAAGGGAUAUAUCCCUAAAAUUUACAAAUAGUCAACCUAUUUUUAAUGAAGAAGAAGAAUGCUUGGUUCCAGCACACCAAGUAAUAUCCAUGUCCGUCUUCCCAGGAAAUUUUCAACCAAUUGAUUAGAUUCAAGAUUUAACAAUUUACAGCCAUGAAGGAAGGCUAGCCAGCACAUUAGCAAGGGUCUUUGAAAGAACUCAAAAAAUAACGAAGGAAUCUCACACAAGGAUUAAUUAUAAAAGUAGAAAUACUCUGCUUGUGUCCAGUAAAAGAAAUGAAAUUGAGGAAAGAGAGAUGAGACUUUUGGUGGAAUUUGAAUCAGCAUUCUAUAACUUAUCUGGACUUUUAGAAAAGCUCCCUGAAGGGAUAAAGAGGAAUCUCUGCUAUUUGAUAAAAGACAGAGAAGACCACAAGUGCCAGCUAUGUGCCUCAGAGAUAUCUGAAGAAAGCAAUAAUGAAACGGAAUCAACUCACAUGAUGAAGGAAGGAGACAAUGCAUCUGAGGGUCACAUGAUAAAAGAGGAGGACAGUGCAUCUGAAGCAUCUCUCAACAUUAUUGCAUAGUGACGUAAGCGCUUAGGUCAUAAGGCACCAACAAUGUAGCUGGUACAAGAUAAUAAACAAUGACGUAAGCAAUUACGUCAUAAGAAGGGUAAGGAUGAGAAUUGUCCAUCAGACCCAACCAUUAUAAAUAGAUUGCUUAGGCAAUUGUAGAAGGCAUCAGACAAUAGAAAGCAGGAGGCUAAGAGUACUUAUAUGCUAGGAGAGCAAGGAGGAAGCUGCCAAGGCGAUUCUAUAGUCUGAAGAAGAAUUCCCUUAGGGAAAAAUAGCUCUAAACUCCCCUCUGGAGUUAGUAUCUAUAAUCUCCCCUCUGGAGAUAAAAAUCCCUUAUGUAAAAUAUACUAAAUAAAGAAAGUUUUUCUCCAGAAAGGUACAUCUUCAUCCUAGUCUUUUAAUUAUGAAUUAUUUAGAAAGUUUAGAAUUAACAGAAGAAUCUGAUUAUUAUAGAUUAACUGCUUUAUUAGAUAAUGAAAAACAGGCUGUUCUAAAAACAGAACUAAAUCUCAAAUCAAAUGAAAAUUUUAAUAAACAAAGUCUUUUAAAAGAAGUUUUUAAUAGAAAAAAUAUAAUAUACUAUAUGGAAAAAUUCAACUUGAAGCCCCUAUAAAAAUAAAAUCUGCCAAUGGAGAACUUGAAAUAGCUUUGAUAAAUGAUGAAGAAUUGAGUAAACAGAUUGAGAAAAUUAAGGAUCAACAAAAAAGAUCUAAAAUUGGAUGGAUUCAUAUUAGUACCAUACAAGUCUUAAUCAAAUCUACAUAUAUGAAAGGAAUUAAUUCGCCAAUAAGUUUAGCAAUCUGUGACAAAAGAAUUACUGAUGACCCAAUAGAUCAAAUAAUUGGAAUUGUUCAUGGAAAUUUGAUUAUGCUUUAACAAAUAGCCAUCAUAGUAUAAUAUUUAAAAACAGAGAAAGAAUUUAUGUCGAUGAAUUAUUUCAGAAAAUUGUAAAAACAGAAAUACCAAAAUAUAAAGCUAUUGAAAACUCAGUUCUAUUAUUAAAAGAACUAUCAGGAAAAUUGGUUUCAUCAAAUUUUCAAAUAAGAGAAUCUAAAAUUAAUAGCCCUUUAAGUUUAUCUACGUUAAAGAUUAAAGAAGAAAAUUCUGAAAUAAAAGAAUUAACAAAAAAGGUCGAAAAAUUAAAUGAAACCCUAAAUACUAAAUUAUGACAAUAAAUAAAGAAGAAAUAUAUGUAACUUAUCAAGAUAAGAAACAAGAGCUCUUUAAAAGAGAAAAUCGUUUGAAUUAUUUGCAGUUUUCUGAAAUAAAUCAAAGAGCAUUUGAAGCUCUAAAAAUAGUCUAUGACAAGUUAAAAAGAGAAGUUGAAGAGCUAGAAAAAUUAAUGGAAUCUCUAGAAAAUAGUGAUGAAGCGAUGAUAGAAUUUGCAGAAAUUCUAAAAUAAAUAAUGAAGCAUAUAAAGAUUGAAAGACCAGAAAAUAAAAUAAAAAGAAAAAGGACGAAAAAAUUAAAAAGUAAAAUAAAGGAGUAUAAAAGGGAAUUAAAUAAUUUUCAGAUCAAAAUUGAUGACCUUAUAAUAAAAAGGAUAGAAAUAAGAAUAAAUAUAAAUAAGUUGGAGUUAAACUUAAAAAAUUUAUAAAUGCCUCGAAAACCAUAUUAUGAUUUAAAAGAAUUAAAGCUGUUGAAAGAAAAAAUGGAGAAUGAAGUUGAAAAAUUAAAAAGAUAUUUAGAAACAACAGAAAGUGUAGAAAUAAAAGAAGUUUUGAAGAUUUGAGAAAUUAUAUUAAAGAAAAAGACAAACAGAUAAAAGACUUUAUAUACAAUAAUCUAUGCAAAAAAGAAUAUUAUAAACUAAAACAAGAUUUAAAAACUAUAAAAAUGAAAUCAGAAUUAUAAAUAAUGGUAAUAGUAGAAAUGGUAAAAUUUUUAAAAAUAAAAUAAAAAUGAAAUCAGAAUUAUAAAUACUGGUAAUAGUAGAAAUGGUAAAAUUUUUAAAAAUAAAAUUUGAUAUCAGAGCCAAGUUAACGAUUAAGGGUAACACUUUUUCUUUAAGCAACACUUUUAAUGACACGCUUUUAAAUCAAUAAACAAUUAAAUAAAAACAAAAAUCGGUAAAUAUGUACCAAACUAUAUCUGUACGCUAGAUGGACCCAUGUAUAUUUUGUAUUAAGUUGAGACACAAAUUUUUUAUGUUAGACACAAUUUUUUUAUUCAUUUUUACCUUUAAUGUUUUGUAAAUUCUCCAAAUGUACCCUCCUUCUUCCAACCGUUUCUUUUUCUCUUUCUCUCUCACCAAUAUGCUGUCUUUUGCUGAUUUCCCAUGACAACAACUCUCUCUCUCCCUCCUUCUCCCGUAUCUAAGUCAUUCACUCACGGUAUUUUCUAUUUCAUCUUCUUGUAAAUUUAGUCUCUCCUUAGAAAAGAAGACAUUACCACCAUCAUUUCUUUAAAAAAGACAUAGUCUAUUUUAUAACUAUUUUUUUUUUCUUUUUUUUUAUAAUAAUUUAUAUUUAAAUUGUUGAAAAUAUUAGCAGUGAUAGCGCCAAUCUUAAAAAAAAUAAUAAUAAAUUAAAGUGGGAAUAGUAAAUAUGGUAUUACUGUAAUGUUGACGAUGGAAAAAGAAGAAUAAUAUUAAUAUUUUAAUAUAAUUAUAAUUUGUGUAUUAUAUUAUAUAUUAUUUACUAAAUAAAAUAAAAUAAAUUGUAUAAUGUUAUACCUAUGUUUAUUUAUGUAUUUGUGUAUAUCUUUUUGUUUUUUUCUACCCAUCAUCACUGGAAUGCCAAGGCACACUGAUUGGUUCUAAGUUUGUAUGGAAUUAAUCAGCAGUAAUUAGUGGAUUUAUAGAAAAGUUUAGAGAUGGUAGUAUUUAAAUACGGAUGAUGACAAGUAUAAUAUGUAAUUAAAAAGAAACAGAAAAAAAUCUAAAGAAAUAUCCCUGUAAUCUUUCAUUUUAAAUUUCUUUCUACAAACAGAAAUAUGUAAUUAAACAACGAGGAAACUCUGUUUGACUUUUGAAGUCACAAACAUUAGAUUCUUCCUUGUAACAAUUGUUUGUCCUUCUUGGGGCUUUUAAUAUUUUAAUUUGAACAUGAUGNNNNNNNNUAGUGAAGUCAAGUCAAAAAUAAAAAAUUAAAUUAAAAGAAAAGAAAAAGAAAAGAGAGAGAAGCUCGGAGGCGAGUUCCCAGUUUCAAGUUUCAACAAGAAAGCAAGGGGAGUUGAUAGCGGUUUGGUCGCUGUUUAUUCAAAACGUAGCAACAGCGACGAAACUGGAUUCUGAUUCUUCUUCUCAGCUUCCAAGUCGUGCUUCUUUCUUCGUCCCUCGUCAAAUCCAUGGCUUCCUCGAUGAAGAUCGUUUUCGGACUUCUCACAUUUGUCACCAUCGGAAUGAUUAUAGGUAAUAAGAUGCGAGCAUGUGCUGUGAUCUUCUUCUUGUGCUACUUUUUCUUUCGUUUGGUGAUUCCAUUUUCACCUUCUUACAGAAUUCAGCUGCUUCCAUUUCCAUCUCAUUCAUGUUCUUUUCUGUACUGGAAAUUUCAGGUGCUCUUUCUCAGUUGGCGUUCAUUCGGAAAUUGGAAGAUUCAUAUGGUAUAAUCUUGCGUUCUUUAGUGUUCUUCUGUGAAAUCGCUUUAAUUUUAGUCAUGAUUACGAUUAUGAUUACAAUUUCAUAUGUGUGUUUGAUUGUUAUUGUUAUUGUUAUUAUAUAUGCUAUGCAUUGUUGUAGUGUUGUUUGUUAGUGUUAGUCUAACCUGAUGACUAUAGGCACUCAGGGUAUUCCAUUUAGAAGAUUGCGUGGCUUUGACACCGAUAGUCAUCUUCAAUUGCCCAGAGGUCUUGUUUACUUUUAUCCCUGUUCAUUGUCUAUUCUUUUCCCCCUCAAUUAUUCAUUUAUUUUUGCAUUCACAUGUUCAGGUCUUCCACAUUGGGGCAACGACAAAGAAGCAGAGAUCUUACGACUUGGUUAUGUAUGUCUGUUGCAUUCUGAGUGCUUGAUCCCUUUUAUGAUGUAUGAUAUAUUAUAUCAGCGUAUGCAAGUAUUAGGAAUGUCUAACUAUCUUAUUCUUUAUUCGAGCCUUGAUGCUGGUCCUCUUUAUUCGAGCCUUUAACGAGCGUAUUUAUCUGAGCAUUGUCUCUGUUUACUUAGCUUUUAACUAUCUUAUUCUUUCUUUUUGAUAGUAUCUGUUUGCUAUUUAGUAUCCUUCUUUUGAUUGGGAGAGCAGAGACUUGACUUGCAUGCUUAUAGAUAAUUAUGUUUGUAUGAUCGUCAAUUCUUGAUGCAGGUCAAACCUGAAGUGCUUAGCUGGUCUCCAAGAAUUAUUUUGCUGCACAACUUCCUAAGCAUGGAGGUAUGAGAUUUGUAAGAAAUUUAGAGUGAAACCUGUUAUCACUGUAUCAUUGACUAGGAUUAUUAGGAUAUUAUACAGAUUAGACUAAGGAGUCAAUUUAAAGUUUCAGACAUCUAUUUGAGGGUUAAAGUUUCCUCAUUAGAUGCCAGCCUGCUAGCGUGAAGUAGGACUUGCUAUUUAGCCACAGAUAAGAUCUUCCUAUCCCAACAGAAAAGGAUCUAUAGCUAUAUACUAAUCUUGGGCAUUUGAUGGUACUUUUAAAAAAUCCAGCUGCUGAGUGAAGCCCUUUUCGGUUGAUGUUUAGACGUGUCUGAAUUUAAAUAAUUUUAUAUUUACAGGAAUGUGAUUAUCUCAGGGGUGUAGCACUUCCUCGCCUGCAUAUUUCAACAGUGGUGGAUACAAAAACAGGAAAGGUACAUUGAGAGUUGAUUUCUUCUGGGUUGGGCUCACUGGGUUCCUGAUAACAGAACCUGGAUGCUUGUGGUUCUAUUCGAUUUUUUUUUUUUAAAAAUGGUUUUAUAUAUCUGGUGCUAUAUCAUCCUCAAAUAUGUGACAUGAAACUGUAUAGCCGAUGUUAUACAAAUCGCUUUUCACAUCAACUUUCAUGAAGGGAAACAACUACAUUCAGAUGCUUUUUUCUCUACAUAAAAUGGAUUAAAACAGAAGGAAAUCCAUAUGAGAAAAAUUUAAACAUGUAUUAGUUUGUUGCUCAUUUGAUCAAAAUAUCUAAUAUCUAAUAAUUGAAUAAUGUUGUACUGUGAAUUUUGGAAUAUAUUUAUUUAAUUUCUUCAUGAAAUAUGGUGAAUACCUUUCACAGGGAAUCAAGAGUGAUGUCAGAACAAGCUCUGGUAUGUUUUUAAGUCCUGAGGAGAGAAAAUAUCCCAUGGUUCAUGUAAGUUUUGAAGAUCAUUUUCCUUCUCAAAUCGUCUUGCUUUUGUCAUUAAACCACCGACUGCACCAGCUGAUUCAACCAUGAAAUUUUAACAGUUUUCCUGGUCUGAUACGCACAAGCAUAGACCAGCUGGUUCACUUAGAACACUUUUUGAGUGGUUAUUACUUAUUAGUGAGUUGCUCAGUCUUUUAAACAUCGUGUCCCACCUAUGGUCCUUAGGUUUCACGCCUAGGAUUCUGUUACAUCACAGUCAAGAAGCUCUCUUUUUUCAUAAAAUCUGACCAUCUAAUAAAGAUGUGAACCAUUGCAUCUGUUAAAUGUAAACUUAACCUACAAGCAUUAGCAAUUGAGAAUUGAGAUUCUACAAUUACUAAUCUCAUAAUGAAGUUUAAAUUAGAAAACGUAAUUAAACAAAGGCCAAAACCAGUAAAUGUAGAACUGGAGAAGAGGUACACAACAUAUUUUAUUGGUGAGGAUUGAUUGUGUAUACUUUGCUAAGCAUGUUCACCUUGCUCAAUUAGGCAAUUGAAAAAAGGAUUUCCAUCUAUUCUCAAAUACCAAUUGAAAAUGGAGAGCUUAUACAAAUUCUGAGGUAAGGAGAUGUCCCUUUUUUGUUAAUAUUUUUUAAGAAUAGAGAAUGGUGCUGCUAGUAUAAGGCUAACAUCUGCAGCAGCACAGGUAUGAGAAGAAUCAAUAUUACAAACCCCAUCAUGACUAUUUUUCUGAUGCUGUAAGUUAUAUUAUUCUCUCUAAUAUUUUAUUUAUCUAUUUUAGUAAGCAUGAGAAUUACCUCGAAGUCUCUUAAACUAAACCAUUUGCAAUCCUCGUGCCUUAAUUUUUGAGGCAGUUCAACUUGAAGCGUGGUGGGCAGCGAAUAGCUACGAUGCUUAUGUAUUUAAGUGACAAUGUUGAGGGAGGAGAGACAUAUUUCCCAAUGGUUAGUUUCUUGUUUUCUGAAUUUGUCAUGUAACAUAUUCCAUUAGCUGCUGUAGUUGUAGUUCUGACUUCUGAAGCAUAUCAAUGGUCUGAAACUAAAACAAGAAUUGGGUGACAGGCUGUAAGGAUUAAGGAACCUGGUAUUCAUGGAGGAUAAUGGACUAGAAAUAACAUACAGAAAAAAAAAAGUCUUGAAUUAACACACUGAUGAUGACAAGAAAUAGUAAUUGGGAAUGGCAGUUCAAGAGGCCAUAUCUUGCCUGUAGCUCUUUGAGAUGCCAUACUCUCCUAGUUCUAAUUCGUCUCCAAAUUCUGAGAUUUACCCAUCAGUAUCCCUCCCAUUAGAGCCUAUACAUGGCUCUUCCCUAACAAGUUACAAUAUUCUCUCUUCUUUGCCUAGUUGGAAUUAAUUACAAAACUCACCCAGCCUAAAGUUCACUUAAUUACAAUUAAGUGCACCAGUUCAUAAUUGAUUGGGUUCCUUACACAGGCUGAUGCAGGAGAUGUACCAUUUUGUUUUUUCUGGUUAAUCUUAUAUGUUAAACUUUAAGUGGAGGAAUAUGUUAAUAUUAAUAUUCUAGUAUUUAC